RNAcentral lists this long non-coding RNA (72666 nucleotides) under Brassica rapa (field mustard). RNAcentral describes it as "long non-coding RNA (BRAP_LNC006074)". Lineage: Eukaryota; Viridiplantae; Streptophyta; Magnoliopsida; Brassicales; Brassicaceae. The record is from RNAcentral.
UACAGAGAGAAACUAGUAGCAGCGUGCAAUAAUGAAACCUAAACAGAACAUCUAACAACAACAAUGACCUAAACAAGAAGAACAGAAAACCAAGUUCUGAGCCGAGCUCCAGCGAAACAGUGAAGGACCCGAGGAGAAGCAAGAGCGGAAUGGGGACGUAGUUGCCACGAGCAAACUGGAGAGAAAGGCGACCUCAAACCUUGAAACACACAGCGCCUACAGCUUCCAAGCCACCCACACAUCAAAACCACUGCAAAGGAAUCGCAAUCUCGGACCCGCAAGCUUAUCCAACAUCACCUAACCGGCAGCACGAGAAGGAAUCCGCAGCCGACGAUGCCGUCGUUCGGAGAGGUUAGCUGAAGAUUGCUGCCUCCAACCCACCUAACCGAGACCGUUUACACCCCUUUAACCCAAAGCCCAUAUAGAGCAAUGGGACCGGAAGGGCACACCUCCUCCGGAAUAGACAAUGUCGGACAAGGAAUUAGGCCGAUAGCCCAACUGAAACCAAGCUUCGAACAGAGAAACCGAUUCGCUCCCACUUCAGUCACUGCCACUGCAAAAUGAAAACACAAGAGAGAUAGAGCCCGCAGCGAGGAGUGCCACACCGACGAACCCACUCCGACUUCGAGGAGUAGCGACUAAUCUCACGCGCCAAGACGAACUCGACACAGCAAGAGAGCGCAACACCAACACGCACCGCCACAAGAUCCUGCUACAAGGCAAGCCAGAACCAACCCUGAACAAGACCAUACGCGCUUCCUCUGUAGACCCCAGAGGAACACGAAGAGGAGCAGAAGAAACCCAAGAUCCAUGGACCACAGGAUCCAACCCUAACAGAGCAACCGUCACGGAGGAGACGAACCCUAAGAAGAUUGUUCGAAGAUUCACGCACCGCCAGACUCGAAGAAACCCAGCCGAGAAGAAGAAAAUCUCUCUGUCAGAGAUUUCUAGGCGAGCCCGAGAAACUGAGACGACGAGGAAGAAGCCGUCCUCUAACCUCAUCACAACGCCAUACACAGCUCAGAUCUGCCAUUGAAACCGCCGGAUCUGGAACCAGAGAGGAUCCCGGCUGAGCUAAGCCUCCGCCGAGAAAGAAGGAUAGGAGAGAGGAGAGGAGAACACAGAGAUAGACGGGAGAAGCAGAGCAGAAGAGGGAAGAGAGGAGAGGCUCCGGCGACCGCCUAAAGGGACACGGCGGUCACCGGGAAACAACGAAAACCCUAGGCGGCUGAACUUUUGGUAGAGAGAAGGGAGAGGAUAAGAGAUAAGAGAGAGAAACCCUAGUUCAUGUCGUUAGCCAACAUAUUAUAUGUGUUAUCUGUAUAAAUAGAUAUUUUAUUCUUUAUAGCCAAAACUUCAAUAGUGGUGUUGGGCUCAUACUGACCACUCUUUUUUACGCUUAGCUUCUGAUAAUCAAUUGUUCUGGAUCUUUAUAGGUCUCGAGUUCACGUGCCUACUAGACAGACUCAUGCGAUAAUAUACAGCUUCAGAUACAUUUUUUUGGUUUGUAACGCACUGAAAUUUUCAGCAUUAGUUUGUAAAAAACUGUAAUUAGUCGUAGUAAACUACUGUGAAACGUUUAAGAAAUUGUAAUUAACACUUUUCCAAUAAACAAAAAAAAAACUGAAUUAAGGCCCCUAAUUUAAGAGGUCUAUAUUGAAACGUCUGUUUCUAAAAUGUAACAGACACGUGUGGCACGUUUGGAGCGGCAGCUCCAGGGGCAUAUGCCGAGUCUGAGAUACUCACUUCUGCAUGACCCUACUUAACCGGUGGUCAAACUUAUAACUUAACCAUGGUUAACUUAUAACAUCCGUCGAGAUCUUUCCACGUGUAUCAAUCUCGUGGCCACAAUCCUUUUCUCUCUCGCCGCUUCCCUUCCUUUUAGCCGCUUAUAAAAACACACCGCAAGAUCCUCAUUUCAUCCACGACUGAUCCAACACCAUUCCUUCAAAGCUCUCUCAUACCAAUCAAAACGAUGGCGUUUCCUAAAGUUUUCUUCGACAUGACCGUUGACGGCAAGCCCGCGGGAAGGAUCGUGAUGGAGCUGUACACCGACAAGACUCCCAAGACUGCCGAGAAUUUCAGAGCUCUCUGCACGGGUGAGAAGGGUGUCGGAAGCAAAGGCAAGCCUCUUCACUUCAAGGGAUCUUCCUUCCACCGUGUGAUCCCUAACUUCAUGUGCCAGGGAGGCGAUUUCACGGCCGGGAACGGGACGGGAGGCGAGUCCAUCUACGGUGAGAAGUUCGCUGACGAGAAUUUCGAGAGGAAGCACACCGGUCCUGGGAUCCUCUCUAUGGCCAACGCUGGUCCAAACACCAACGGGUCUCAGUUCUUUAUCUGCACUGUUAAGACCGAUUGGCUUGAUGGCAAGCACGUGGUGUUCGGACAGGUGGUGGAAGGGUUGGACGUGGUGAAGGCGAUUGAGAAGGUGGGGUCGGCUUCUGGAAAGCCGUCGAAGCCGGUGGUUGUGGCUGACUGUGGUCAGCUCUCUUAGAUCACAUGAGUUCUGUCCUCGGUUCAAAUUAGCGUUAUCGUCGUCGUCUAGUGAGUGGUGUUGGUCCUCCUCGUCGUGUGUCUCUCCUAUGCUUUUGCUUUUGUGUUACUUUUCAUUUGGUGUAAUCAUAAAAGCUUGGUGUGUGUUCGUUCUCAUGUCACCCUAAUUAGUAGCUAGUUCCAUAAAUAAUGAAUGAGCUUGUGUUUGUUUAUCCUUUUAAUCUUUGCUUGAAUUUACGAACGGAAUCAAAAGUAUAAAUGCCUCAACAACCAAAAUAAAAUAAAAAAUAGUGCACUGAAUCUUCAUCUGUAAUUUUUGUGUAAUGCACUUUCCCUGUGAGUUCACCGGUCAGUUGCAUUGAAUUUCGUUGGACACUUUAUUGCUGGGAUUAACACAAUAACACUGAUUAUAGUUAUCAGGUCCUAGUUGAGAGAGAAAAGAGAAAGGGAAUAACGAAACCCUAGUAAGCCGCCAUCAACUCGAGCUCGGAGGAGGGGUGGAAUCUGGUGAUUCGUCGCCGUGAGAGACUUCUCCUCCUCCUAUUCUUGUUAUUAUGUUGUAUGUUUCUCUGUUACUCUCCUUUAGUUUUCUUCUUUUUUGUACGACGUCAAAAUGCGAGCUACUCCGGAUUUUAAUGGAUUCUCUUGUGGAUCUACAACGGUGAGACACUGUCUGUCAAAUUGCUGGAGUAGCAGCGAGAUGCUGCAAGGAGUCGGAAGGGAAGGGCUCUAUAUGAGAGUAAUUUCGAUCUGGUGAUUUGUGUCUUGUUUUAUGCUUAUAUGUCACUUACUCUCUCCUGCGUUUUAGAUCCUCCUUGUUCCGGGGUUGAUUAGUUCUUUGACCUGGAGACGAGUGGAAGCGUGUGGAAAGCAUCUCUUUCGUGUGGUGGUGUUGAAUCGUUGGGUCUUAAAGGUUCAGAUGUGCUCUGGAUAGUUUUCGUCCGUUGUUGAACAGACUUCUUUGCUAACUCUUGGACCUGCGUUUCUUUCCAUACGGUGAUUUGAAGUUAUUGGGUUAGAUGCUCCUCUCCAUCUUGGCUCCUCUCCUUUGCUUUGUCUACUUAUCCACUCAACGGAGAGGAUGUAUUCUCUGAAUCCUUGGUUGGCUUAUAGAUUACUCGCUCUAGUCUUUUUCUACAUUGGAAUUGGUACGGCGGUGGCGUUUUAGCGAGUCCGUGAGCAGAACAGGUUUAGCAUCUUUGUUGUGAAGAUGUUGGUUGGUGUCACCUCUCUAUUUCCAGAUGGAGUCCUCGCUGCAGCUUAUAAUAAGUGUUCGUCUUAUCCUGGUUGGUUCGCUGAUAUCUUAAUUCCUCGGUGGCUUCUUCUUGAAUGUUUGAAGCAGUAUAAUGAGGUUGAGGUCUUGGUUCAAUCGGAGGAAGUUGCGGUUUCGUAGGAGGUUUGGUCCCAGGUGUUUCGGUUCUUGGACCCAUGUUUCGGGGUUGGUUUGUGUGGGGUGCUAUUCGGCGUGGUUCUGACUUUUCAUCGUGGACAGGAGGUUCAGGUGUUUUUAGGUUCUGUUAAGUCAUCGCCGCUUGUCCGCUUGGUUGACUGUGGUCUCUUGUUAGACUUCUGGUUGUUUUAGACUUUGACUAUGCUAUCUAUGGUUUUGAUAAAGAAUUGUAGGAAGAUCUAGUUGUAGGAAGUUGCUUUUGUCUUAAGUUAUGUUUCAGUGUAGUCUUUGGUGUCUUUGUAUGGCUUUUAGUGUCUUUCCUGUGGAUUGUUGUUUCUGGGGAUAUCAACAUCUUCCGCCGGCUCUGAUUGUAUUCCACCGAAUGUUUGAUAUAAAUCAAUUGACGAAAAAAAAAAGUUAUCAGGUCCUAGUUAUCACUAGUGAUAGCGCUUCAAUAAAAAUGACUAAACAACUCUAUUAAUAUCAUGUAACUAAGCAAUUUUGGUCAUGUGAUACCACUAAAGAAAGCAAAAAAGUGAGAAAGCCAAUCAAUCAUGUCGGUUGAUUUUUUUUUAGGUAUACAAGAAACUAAAAAACAUUUAUUAAUCAUAGAAGCUAAAUGUAAUGGGCCUUGCAUAAGGCUGUCUGGCCCAUCAAUUCCGGUCGCAAACUUAUUUUCAAAUCCAAUUGGAGAAAACAUCAAAAUUACUAAUUUACUAGUGUGAUUUUGAAAUUUCAUAUGAAUAAGAAAAUGUAAUAAUACUCAUCUGUGAUUUAUUAUUACUUGAUUAAUUAUUUUAGUCGAAAUCAUAUCAAAAUUCAGAGGAGACAUAUUUUCUAAAACUAGGUGAACGUGAUUUCAUUAGUCUACUAUGCACAAAACUAGAAAAUCAAUGUGAGGAGGCCAAAUCUAUACGCGUGUGUGACACUUUCUCUUUUCAAAUUCCACACUUUUUUAUUAUUUUUAAAUCUAAUCUCGCUUAUUCUUAUGAAAUUUAAAAUAUAAAAAGUAAAAUUUUUUUUUAAACACUGAUUAUAUUAUCAACAGAAGAUUACAAGGGUGGGAUUCAGUUUUGCAACACUUUGGCCGGCAGGUUCAACAGACCUCCGGAAACAGAAGCUCCAACGAUGGAGAGACUAAAAUACAAACAUAUGAUGACCAAAGAAACAGAACAUGAAACAAUCUAAGCUAGAAGAAUUGGAUAACAACUUAAAAUACACCUUCACCAAAACGAGAUCAAUAAUACAUGAUGACUUGAACAGAGCUUCUUUGAACAAGGCAAAGCGAGGAAGCCUUCCAUGGCUACAACCUCCGGUCUGCGAAUCCUCCUAUGAUGAAUAGCACAUGCAGAUGAAAGAACAAAGCUUCAAGCUCCAGGAGACAGAACACGUCAUGUUCAUAGUCUUCAACCGGAAGUCACUGGAUGGAUGAGUUGAAUCGACAAGCCAAAGAAGCUAGACAGAAGAUAAGAUCUCGAUCGAAUCUCUAAGGGAAUUGACAAGGAGUGAAACAACUCAUAACCAGGAACAACCUUGCUCGAGAGACCGAGAAGGUCAAAGAUCGAGACCUGGUAUGAGCCAAAGAAAGCUCAAAAUCAACAUGCAAAUCAAUCAAACACACAUAAGUUCCAAGAUAGAACCAAAACUGAAGGGGACAAGGAUAUAACCACUUCUAACAGAGAGAUCGACAAAAUAGAUCAAACGAAAACCCUCAUUCUCUCCGGAAAAAGAUCAGAUUAGAGAUUUGAAAAUGACCUGUCGAGAGAAACGAGAAUAAUGUACAGAUCUAACCGAAGAAAAAGAAAGGAAAAGAAAAGAAAAAGACCGGCCUCGGCUCUGUGGAAGCAACCGGAGCCGGCGAACCGGAAAAAGCAAGAGGAGAUUCUAGAGAGAAGAUAGAGGGUUUAGAAAGAGUCAUAAAAAGUAAAUUAUUACAUAGACAUACAUGCGUGAUACAACCAUUUUGUCAUGGAGUUGCCAGCAAAACAAAAAGAAAAACUAUAUUUUCUAUUCUAAUAAGCAGUGCUUAAUUAAUUAAAUAAAUAAAUGAGAGCACGAAGAUGCCAGAUAGGCAGUUUGGACUUUGGAGUAGUCCGCAGAACAUUUGAAAAAAGAAUCAGGAAAGGUAAUAUUCGGACAAGGCGACGAAUUUGAACCAAUGAGCUGUCGUCGCGUCUCUCUCGAGCAGAGAGGGAGGGGAGAAAAAAGCCAUUUACAAAAAGUGUUUGGUCUUUGAAUCUUUCUCUUUCUCUCUCUAUCUCCCAUUUUUUGAAUUUUAGGUUGUGAUUCUCGUUCCUCGUCCUUUUUUCUCUUCCCUGCAUCCUUUCCCUUCCUCUUCAAAGCAAAUUCUUUAUGCUGUUGAUCAAAACAAUCCGAUAACGACCAACGGGGACAGAGCUUGAUCCGAUUUGACUUUGUUUCCGUAGAAAUUAGGCAAAGAGAGAAGCAAUAGAGAGAGAAUUAGAAAAAAAUGGUGUCGGACAAUGAGAAGGGAUUGGUAUUAGCUGUGGCGUCGAGCGUAUUCAUAGGUUCGAGCUUCAUUUUGAAGAAGAAAGGUCUCAAGCGUGCUGCUGCUAAUGGCACCCGAGCUGGUUCGUCCCCGUCCUCCCUUUGUUAUUACAUUUUAUAUGAUGAUGCUGAAUUAGUAGAUUUGAUUUCAAAAAUAAAUAAAAAAAGCUUCUAUUCAAUUUUUGAACUACCCUUCUGCUCAAUUUAAGGUUUUGCUGUCUGAUUUGUAUUAUCAAACCGAUUUUGAAAUCAUUCUCUAAUAUACAGAUCAUAUCUUGUACUUUUAGUACGUCUGCCAACAGUUUGCGAAUAGGUUCUACACAUAUCUACUAUUAAUUGUUUGAGAAUUGUAUGCCUUUGCUUCUUGAUGAUGAUGCAGGGAUUGGAGGUUAUACCUAUUUGUUAGAGCCACUUUGGUGGGUUGGCUUGGUUACAAGUGAGUAUUGCCCCCCAUUUUGCUCGUCUUUCUUUUUCUCAAUCAUUCUUAGUUUUAAUUAGAUACAAAUUUCUGAAUGUGGAUUUCAGUGACUUUUGGAGAAAUUGCAAACUUUGUAGCUUACGUUUAUGCCCCCGCUGUACUAGUCACCCCUCUCGGUGCACUAAGUAUAAUCAUCAGGUUUGUUAUUCCUAUGACUAUUUCUUUCUGAUGAUCAUUAUCUGAAACGUACUUCUUCGCUUGUCUUUACUAACCCCUCCUCUGAUUACUAGUGCUGUUUUGGCACACUUCCUGUUAAACGAGAAACUCAAGAAAAUGGGAGUGUGGGGUUGUGUUUGCUGCAUCGUAGGCUCGGUUAUGAUCGUCAUACACGCACCUCAGGAGCAGACUCCCAACUCUGUUCAAGCAAUCUGGAAACUAGCUAUGCAACCAGGUUGCGCGCUCUUUCUCUUACACACACAUUGUGUGUUUACCUGGGGGAAUAUAACUUGGUUCCUUUUUUUUUUUAUGAAACAGCUUUUCUAAUUUACGUAGCCGCGUCAAUGUCCAUUGUCCUGGCUUUGAUUCUUUACUGCGAACCUCUCUGCGGCCAAACGAACGUUCUUGUUUAUAUCGGAAUUUGUUCAUUGAUGGGUUCUCUCACAGUAAGUUUUGAUGAUGAAUCAAAGCAUAUUUGAGCUCUAUUUUAUAAUUUUAUCUUUGUCUAAAGUUGUGUUUCUGUUUAAGUAGGUUAUGAGCAUAAAGGCUGUGGGGAUCGCAGUAAAGCUAACACUGGAGGGAAUAAACCAGGUUUGGUAUCCGGAGACUUGGUUCUUUGUCAUGGUUGCAGCUAUAUGUGUUGUUACGCAAAUGAUAUACCUAAACAAGGUUAGAAUGGAACUUCUUGUUGUAUCUGUGUGGUGUAGUGUUGUGCACUUUGGCCUUUGCUUAAUACUAGCAUGUUUGUUUUUGUUUUGGCCAGGCGCUGGACACUUUCAACGCAGCAAUAGUUUCUCCAAUCUAUUAUGUGAUGUUCACAACCCUCACAAUUGUUGCUAGUGCUAUUAUGUUCAAGGUAGAUAGAUUGAUAACAUAAGUAAAUAUUUUUAGAGCAAAGAUAAAUAUGAGUUUAUGUACAGGACUGGUAUGGGCAAGACACAGAGAGCAUAGCAUCUGAGAUAUGUGGAUUCAUCACAGUGCUAACCGGGACAGUUAUACUGCAUGCCACUAGAGAAGAGGAACAAGCUUCUUUAAGAACAAUGAGAUGGCAGGAAUCAGGGAAGAGCUUUAACGAAGAGCAUCUCCUAAGUUUGUACCGUUCUACUGAGUAUCAGGAAAGUAAAACCCCUCUUUGUUGAAUUGAACGAGGAGGUUGGUGUCCGAAUCAGAAGAUGAUCAUCAGUCAAAUGGCAUAUCCUCAUCUUAUCUCUCUAGUGGAGGAAGAAUGUAACUUUUGUGUAUACUUUAUAGUUAUGUAAUAGAAUUUUGAGAUUUCUCUAUGCAAUACAUGGAGUUUCCAGAGAAAAUUUAUCCAUUCAUAUUCUAUUUUUAUAUAUAAUUUUGUGACAAAUAAUAUAAGAAAAAAAUUUCCCUGCUACACAAAAUUUACACUAAUACGGUGGAAAUCAUCCAAUGUAUGAGAAUGUGUUAACUAAACAAAGUUUAUGUUAAUACAGUUAACACAUUCCACAUGUACAUGAUUAUAUGGUGGAAACAUCAUAAUUGAGUUUAAUUGAUUUUAAAUUAAAUUAAUGGAAUCAAUCCGUAAUAUUCAUAGGAAAAUUAAUUCUGAUUUACUAAGUCCGAUCUAACCCAACUCAUGUAUCCAACCAAGUUGUAGAUUUAUGUCUCUUGUUUGGAUCUCCAAUUUUUGAAAUUAAAAUUUAAAUCAAUUUCAAACAGAAAGAGAAAAAUAGAAUUGGGUGGAGGAUCCAACAUUAAGUGAAGGCAAUGUGCUUUGUCACUCUCUUUCUUCGAUUCAACGAUUCCGAUUUCUCAGUGAUUCGUUUACAUCAUUCUGGUCUAUCUACUCAAAAGUUCGCAGUCGAUUCUCACUCUGUCUCUAGUGGCGACUCUUUCCUUUUCUCUCAAUCUCUUACAUUUGUUUCUCCCAAAUCGAUUUAUGUUAUGAACCCUAAAGUUUUCAAUUGGGACAUUUGUGUUAAGAGAAAUUAAGAAAUCGGUUUUUAAUAACUUGGGUCGAAUUUAGUUAAAUUGGGGUUAAGUUUAAUUAAUUACGAAUUGAUUCUAUUAACUUUGUUAAAAUCAAUUAAACUCAAUUGUGAUAUUCCCAUCGUAUAAUCAUUUACUUCGUACAUAUGACAUGUAUUAACAUAAAUUUUGUGUAGUUAUUAACACAAUCUCGUAUAGUUUCCACCAUGUUAGAGUAAAUUUAGUGUAGUUAAGAAAAUUUUUCUAAUAAUAUAUAAAAUAUAUAUAGAUAUACUGAAUGUUAUUUUUUCUACAUAUUUUGAAUGAGAUAAACAUAAUUAUAAUGAUGAAAUUGGAAAUUUCUGUUUAAAUUUAACAAUAUUUUAAAAAAUAUAUUUUCUUCACCUUGCAGGAAAAGGAAAACAAUUGCAAAUAUUCUAAAUUAAACAUAUUUUAUUUGCCUUGCUCAAUAUUAGAUAAAUUAACAACCGUCGGAUCAAAAAAAUAAAUCUCCACAUAAAAGGAUCCGUGAUUCUGAGGGUUUCUUACGAAAACAAAGACAACCUUUCAUUCAUUCACACAAAGCAAAAAAAAAAGAAGAAGAGAAACAUGGCGGCUGCUGUAUCAUCCGUUUGGGCAAAGCCCGGUGCUUGGGCUCUCGAAGCCGAAGAGCAAGACGCCGAGCUCCAGCAACAACACCAAUCAUCCCUCGCCUCUAAUCAAACCGCCCCCUCCUCCGAUUUCCCCUCCUUAGCCGCCGCCGCCACCACCAAAACCAAGAAGAAGAAGGGCCAAACCUUAUCCCUCGCCGAAUUCUCCACCUACAAGGCUGCAACCGCUCCUCCUCAGACGGAGCGCCUCACUCAGGCCGAGCUCGUCUCCCUCCCCACGGGCCCACGCGAGCGCUCCGCCGAGGAGCUCGAGAGAUCUAAGGGCUUCCGGAGCUACGGACCUAGGGAGGACUCCACCUCCAGGUGGGGCUCCUCUAGGGCUUCCGAGGACGGUGAGAGGAGAGGAGGCGGUGGAUUCGGCAGAGACAGGGAGUCUAUGGGCCCUUCCCGGGCCGAUGAGACUGAUGAUUGGGCCGCUGGGAAGAAGGCCUUUGGUGGGCGAGGCCCAAGCGAUGUGUUCGAGAGGAGAGACCGAGGCCCAGGUGGAGGAUUCUUCGAUUCUCAGUCUAAGGCUGAUGAAGUCGAUAGCUGGGUCUCCUCUAAGCCCAGAUUCGUUCCUUCUAGCAACAACGGCGGCGGCGGAGGCGGCGGUGAUAGAUUCGAGAAGCGAGGGAGUUUCGAGUCCUUGUCUAGAACCCGCGAUUCUCAAUUCGGCGGCGGAUCUGAAUCCGACACAUGGGGGAGGAGAAGAGAGGAGAGCGGCGCGCCACCGGCUUCCGGCGGUGGUGGUGGUGGUAGCUCACGGCCGAGAUUGGUGUUGCAGCCGCGGACGCUUCCUGUGGCUGCUCCCGUUGUUGUGGAUGUGAAGCCGGAGAGCCCGGUGGCUGUAGAGAGACCUGUCAUUGUGGAGAGACCUAAAGGUGCGAAUCCGUUUGGGAACGCGAGGCCUAGGGAGGAGGUUUUGGCUGAGAAGGGACAGGACUGGAAGGAGAUUGAUGAGAAGCUCGAGGCUGUUAAGUUGAAGGAGGUUGCAGAGAAGCCUGAUGAGGGGAAGAUGGGGUUUGGUCUUGGUAAUGGUCGUAAGGACGAUCGUACUGACGGAAGUUGGAGGAAAAGGUCUCUUCUUUGACUAGAUAAUAACCUUUUGGUUGAUUCAUUGCUUGCCUGCUUAUAUACUUUGCUUAUGGUCUCUUAGUUCAUAUAUGAGAGAGAUGGAUUCAUAGAUGCACUAGGGUUAUGGAUCACUGCAUUGUUUGUUUUACUAGUUACUUGAGAGAAUAGUCUCUUGAUAUAUCAUUAAUGCAUUCAUAGUUGAAAGCACAUUGAAGUUGAAGAAGUCUAGUGAUACUUUUUCUUGGCUUAAAAAUUGAAUCCUUCUUUCUGUAUUUUUUAAAUAUGGCAUUCCUUAUGUGAGAUCUGUCUUUAUUUUUCUGCAUGAUUCUUACACUGGAUUGUUUUGUCUGUUUUGAACAUUAAAGCUCUGAGCAAACUGAGGAAACACCAGCUGUAGAAGAGGCUAACAAGGAAGAACCUGCCAAGGAAGAGGCUGGCAAGAAAGAGGCUGAGGACGAAAACUAAAUGAGCAUUUUGGGAGUGCGAGGAGUUCAUGAGGGUUUUUAGCUUCUGAGAAUUUGUGUUGUUUUAAGUUGUCUGUUUAACUCUAUAGAAAUUUUUUGGUAGGGGACUCCUUAUAAUUUAUGUCUUUUGUUUGCAUACAGUCUUGCAAUUUUUAGGGAUUGUGGGUGUCUUUCUAUGAUUUUGCACAAUUUGUUAUUCGUAUUAUUGUCUCCUUUUUUUCUGAUUUGUGAGCUGUUUCGUUGGACGAGUGGUAAGUUGUAUUUGUUUGUUGUUGAACGUUGAUCCACUGUUUCAGAGAGAUGUGAUGAACAGAGCUUUAGAGGAUUCCUUAUAUAGUCCACGGCACUAGACAUAAUCGAAUAGGUAGAACUGUAUGAGUUUAAAGCUCUAGGAUCAUAUUUAAACUGAACUUGUCUUAAUCCCAAUCCAAAAUGAAAACUCAAUCUAUAAAGUGAACUAAAUUUGCAAGCGGAUAUAACAAAUAGGUUCAUGUGUUUAUUGAAGUAUUUAGUUAACCAAUGUAUGUUACAAAAAAAAAAAAAAAAAAAAAAAGUUAACCAAUGUACCUCAGAAUGUUUGGUAAAUUAUGCUCUUAAUCUUUAAUUUCAAUAAUUCUAUUCCCUAAAACUAUAAACAAGUGCCUAAGACCAUCCUCUAUAAUAGAGGUGGGUUUUACUCCAAUGUAUUUCUCUAAAAUAGAGAUCUCUACAUAUAGAGCAAAAUAUAGAGGAAUGCUAUUUCUUCCUCUAUAAAUAGAGGAAAAAAUAGCAAUCUCUAUUUUAGAGGCAAAAAUAGAGAUGGAUUGGAGUAGUUUUGCCUCUAAAUGCGAUUAUAGAGGUGGAAAUAGAGGUGGGUUGGAGAUGCUCUAAUGUAUUCUGAAGCUGUGCUUCUUUUGUUUUAUUUUCAUACACCAGCCUGUAUGUAUCGUGGUGUUUGAGAUAUAAGAACACAUGGUAGGCCCUGUGUAUGAUUGUUUUCUCUACGGAUCAUAUAUGUUCUACUUUUAUCCAAUUGUUUAAAUUCGUAAGGAAAACUAUAUCACAAAUGAAUAAAAACUGAACAUGUGUCUUGUAUAUGCAUCAUAACGAAUGGAAAAAUAAUAAAGAAUCACGUUCUAUUAGUAUCUUUCACGUCGAGGAGAGCCAGCUCAUUGAAAGUGACCCAAAAAAAACUGAAAUGUAAACAGCGAACACACAAUGACACAAAUGGAGAUGGACCUACCAAACAUCAAUUACAGCCCAACCACUCUUUGAAUAUAGAGAUAUUCAUAUCUCCACUAAUCGAUCAUUUCACAUAAAUUCACAAUACUUGAUUAUUCAAAAGAAAAUGUAGAAGAAAAUUAUAUUAUAGUAAAACUGUAACUGUAAGUUUACAUAACGCAACCUUUUUUUAAUAAAACGGUGUUUUUUCGUGAUAAAGUACCGUCCCUGUGAAAAGAUAAAACGAAUAUUGAGCAACUUUUACGUACCAAUAAUAAUGGAAACCAGAACAAAAGCAUAACAAUAACCAAAAAAACAAAUUAAAACAACUUCUGUUUUGUUUACUUAAACUAUUUAUAAAGGCAUCGAGCCAACAUUGUAACCACUACUCAUCACAAGAGACAGAGAGAGAGCAAAGCCUCACCGUCACCAAUGGGGACUCACCUUUCGAAACAGCUCGAGCGUCGCAAAGCCAUCUCCACCGAGAAAAAAGCCCUCGCCGAUCUCCAGCAAUCCUGCGGCUGCGAGUUUCCCGGCUGCGACUACACCCCCUCCGAUCGCAAAACCUGGAUGGCCGGCGUUGGACCCGACAAGCUCCACAUCAACAAGAUCGUCUGGCCAGGGACUCACGACUCCGCCACCAACAAGAUCGGGAUCCGCUUCGUCUCCCGCCCCUUCGCUCAGUGCCAGUCUCUCUCCAUCUACAACCAGCUCGUCGCCGGCACUCGAGUCCUCGACAUCCGCGUCCAAGAAGACCGCCGUGUGUGCCACGGUAUCCUCAAAACCUACAGCGUCGACGUCGUUUUAACCGACCUCAAACGGUUUCUCUCGGAAACCGAAUCAGAGAUCGUCAUCCUCGAGAUCAGAACGGAGUUCGGACACGAGGAUCCCCCGGAGUUCGAUAAGUACCUCGUGGAGCAGCUCGGCGACCACCUGAUCCACCAGGACGAUGGCGUGUUCGGCAAGACUGUCGCCGAGCUGCUCCCAAAGAGGGUGAUAUGCGUUUGGAAACCGAGGAAGUCGCCUCAGCCUAAGCGCGGGGAUCCGCUGUGGAGCGCGGGGUACUUGAAAGACAACUGGAUCGAUACCGAUCUUCCUUCGACGAAAUUCGAGAGCAACUUGAAGCAUUUGAGCCAGCAGCAGCCGGCUGCUUCGAGGAAGUUUUUCUACAGGGUGGAGAACACUGUCACUCCGCAGCCUGAUAACCCGAUAUUGUGUGUUAAACCGGUCACUAACCGGAUUCAUUGUUACGCCAAGGUGUUUAUUAUUGAGUGUGUGAAGAGAGGAUGUGCUGACAAGCUGCAGAUAUUUUCGACGGAUUUUAUUGAUAAGGAUUUUGUUGAUGCUUGCGUUGGCCUCACUUUUGCAAGAGCUGAGGGGAAGGCUUGAGUGUUUAUAUAUGAGUGGAAUUCGAGUAGAGACAUUGUUUGUAUAUUUGUUUUAUAGAAAAAAGAAUCAGAGCACAUGGCUGGUGUUAGGGGUUCCUUGUGUAUUAAUCAAGUCGUUUAUUUGUAUGGAAACAUGUCAGUGUGUGUGUGUGUGUAUUUGAAUUGAGGCUGUAUAUUCAUCAUAUUCAUUACUGAAUGCAGUUAUGUACAUUCUGGAGAUACUAGUAAAAAUUUGUGUUUCUUUUUCUUUAUGCAAGUACAAAAUAGAAAUGCAGUGAGAUUGAUCAUUCUGACUGAAGCCAGAGAACCACCAAAAUAAAUAUCAGAAACGAAUGACCGGAGAUCACUGAAGGCGACAGUUAAUGCAGCGAGCAAAUGAGAUUCAGUUGAAGACAUGACAGAAUGACACAAGUCUUGAAGAAACAAUUUGGGCUAGGAGAGAGAGGACUAACACGGAGCAUCACAGCUCUUCAAGAAUUACAAGUCUUGAACAAUCAAUGGGAGGAGGAGGUGCAUAAGGGCUGUAGUUGGGAGCUAUCUCAAUGAGUGUCGAGGGUAAUAGAAGAUCCACCAUGAGUGCUUGUGUCACACCCCCUGAAAAUAUUCAUUAGUUUAUUAUUAUAGGUACCAAGAGGCAUGUCAGUGGCAAGCAAUGCAUCUUGAUCUUGAACUUUAUGAUUCAACAAAUAUGCUCAGAAGUCAGUCAAAAAUAAUUAAUCCCGUCUUAUUUAGUGGACCAUCACAAAAUAAAUGUGCUUUACAUAUAAGUUGUGUGCAAGUCUCAUCAUUAGCAUUCUCAUUUUUCUUGCCUUUUUAUUUGCUUAACCCUACCGGUCCCUACGUCUGCAAAGACAAAAUAAAGCAUGGGACGCGGGGCCAACUUUCCACCUUAUAAUGGGCCGAAUCUCAAGCACAAUGGAGCUUAUGGGCUAUUUCACACGAAAAUGGAGGAUUAGGGGUGGAACCCUUCACUCCUGAAAAGGCAAAAGCAAACCCACUUGCCGCCAAAUAGCUCUUCUGCUUCUAGCUAAUCAAAUGAAUUACACAACACAGCAUUUUACUCAAACGAGCAAAGACAUUAUUAAUAGGCAGAAAACAUUACAUAUCCGAUACCAUUUGGCCCACUCUAAAACGUUUUUUAGUUUGUUUAAUCCUACUGGAUUUUUUAAAAUAAUUGCAGAAGAUAUAAUUUGUCAGGUUUCAGGCAUAGAGCCCAGUAAACACACACCACAACAAAUCUAGGGAAAAAUAAAAUAAAUAUAAAGAACAAAACCCAUACCAAGUGACUUCCCAGUCUUUCUCAGCUCUCUCUCUCUCUUCCACAACAACAAAGAUCUUCACUUUUCACUAGAUCCUACCAAGACUCCAAGAGUAGUGAGACUAAGAAACUGUAAUGGAUCUUUCUUCUCUUCGCGGCUCUUCCUCUCUGACACUGAGCUUCAUAGUUCUGCUCUUGGCUUCCACAGGUAAAAUCAGUUCUUCAUUCUCUCACUCACUUACUGUCUCAACUCAGUUUCAAAGUUUUUCUUUUCUUUCUCUCUGUCUUAUUUGUUUUUCUUUAACAUAUACUAUUAGGUUCUUAUGGUUCAACCUUCACAUUUGCUAACCGGUGCGGCUUCACCGUCUGGCCUGGAAUCCUAGCCAAUGCGGGCUCUCCUACUCUCUCCACCACCGGUUUUGAGCUCCCUAAGGGCACCUCACGCUCUCUCCAAGCCCCAACCGGUUGGUCCGGUCGUUUCUGGGCUCGUACCGGUUGCAGCUUCGACGGUUCCGGCUCCGGUACCUGCAAAACCGGUGACUGCGGCUCAAACCAAGUCGAAUGCGUCGGACUCGGCGCCGCGCCGCCUGUAACUCUCGCCGAGUUCACUCUAGGCACCGGCGGCGACGUCUUUUACGACGUCAGCCUCGUCGACGGUUACAACCUUCCGAUGAUCGUUGAAGUCGCCGGUGGAUCUGGGCAGUGUGCUUCCACCGGCUGCACUUCCGACCUUAACCUUCAGUGCCCCGCUGAGCUGCGCUCCGGCGACGGUGACGCGUGUAAAAGCGCGUGCGAGGCGUUUCGGAGUCCUGAGUACUGUUGCAGCGGCGCGUACGCUACACCUUCCACUUGUAGGCCUUCGGUUUACUCGGAGAUGUUCAAAGCUGCGUGUCCUCGCUCCUAUAGCUACGCUUACGAUGAUGCUACGAGCACUUUCACUUGCGCCGGUGGUGAUUAUACGGUGACGUUUUGCCCUUCAUCACCUAGGUAAGUGCCCUCGAUUUUCUCAUAUUUAUAAUUAUUUUUCUCUGUUUUCCACAAUUUGUGGGUUUUGUUUUUUGAAAAAAUUGAAAGUUUUGUCUGUUUAAUGAGGUUUCGUAAUAAUUAAAGAGAAAUUGUACUCCUUACACACCAUUUUUCCCCUAUUUACACUCCAUACCCUAUAUCCCUCCAAUUUUUUUCCCCCAACAUUACCAUUUUCCCCCCAUUCAAUGAUAUCCCACCUUUGUUAGUAUAUUUAGCUAAUUUACUCAUAAUUAAACUUAGGAUAUACUUUAAUGAAUGAUUUUGGGUGCAUGUUUUUUCCUUUUUUAACGCAAAAGCUGAAGUUUGUUUCUCUUCUUUUCAUAAACCACCGUUUGUAAAGGCAGAAAGAUUCUCUUUGUUUGGUAAUAACGAUGGAUUUUCACGAGAAAGUUUAUAGCAAAUGUUGCAGAAAAUUCCAAACCUGUUUGAAAAUGCAAGUUGCAAUAUCUGAAAAUUACAGUUGUAUUGAUUAGUGUUGGUUUUUUCCGUUUCAUUGUAAGCAGUCAGAAAUCAACAAGCUACCCCACACCGGUACAAGACUCGUCGGCGACCUCACAAGGUUCGGACCCCGUGCCCGGUUCGGAUACAGGUUACUCGGGUCAGGGUCAACAACAGUCUCAAGGUCAGGGUCAACAACAGGCUCAGGAUCAGGGUUAUGGAUACGGGUCUCAGGGUACUGGGUCGCAGGUUGGUUCGGGAGAGACGAUGUUACAAGACGGAUCAUGGAUGGCUGGUUUGGCUAUGGGAGACUCUAGCAGAUUAACCGGUGCUUCACUAGCAAUGCUACUCGCCGGAUUUACCUUUGUGUUUCCUUUUAUUUUCUCGUAGCAUCAUCGUCUUUGACUUUCCCUUUCAUUUGCCUUUGUUUAAUGUUAGACUGUCUUGUUGAUAAUCAGUUUUUUUUUUCUCGAGUAGGACUGCAACAAUUUGGGGUUUUAGGUUGUUCUUGUACUGGAGCUUUGUGUGUGCGUGUUCUUGCUUCAUCUGUCUUUAAAGAAUGUUUGUUUAAUGUUCGACAUUGUGAGAUAUGUUUUGUGAUUUAAUCAUCUCAACUGGGUUAGUUUCAGAUCUAAAGCACCAUAAAUUAAGUAACUAACCUUAAUUGAAAUUGACAUUUAUUGUGUUUGUUGGUCUACUUAAAUCUUAGAGAAUUAAUAGGUCUAUAUGAUAAUGUUGCCAGAGCCAAGCUGGACCUCACAGUUCAUUGCAGUGUGAUUUGAAUCAUGCUACUUAUCUUUUUUAUUUACUUUUUGACGAUGCUACUGAUUUGAUGUCUCCUUAUGUCAGAAAUUUAUAUGAUAAAACUUAUUAAAGUUUCCCACGCCACAAAGCCACAGUAGCGUCUCAUUUCAUGUCCUUUAUUGACCCGUUGUCACUUAUUGUCUCCACCACCACCAGUACAUUUUAGUUGUAUUCAUUUAUAAUGUUGAAGUGUCGAUUGAAAGUUUGCAAAAAAAACCUAUUCUAUCUCUUAUUGAUGACCCUAGACUUGAAGUAUAUCUAUCGACCAUUUAAGAUUCGCAGUGCAUCUUAACACAUAAAACACACGUUAGAUUCGGAGCCUGACAUGUUUGGUCUCAGGGUCUCGAGACAGCGAGAAAGAUGAAUUCACCGUUUUACCCUCGUAUAUGAUGCUGACUCGAUACUCUCCUAAAAAUCCCAAGAAGCUGAAGGUUCCACGGUCGUCCGUCUUUGCCUUAACUUCACCGGUAGUCCAUUCUAGCAGCUUCUUAUCCACCACGUCUCCGGCAGGAAGGUUAAUAAACUUAUCGUCAGUAAGGCACAUUUGGUAACAGCCGUUAGGGUGAAGUGCGGUCCAUAGAAUUAUACCGUUCACUGAUGGGUGCGAAAAUCCUUCACGUAACACUUGCUCCAAAUAAAGCGCCUGUUACACAUUUUAGUUUAUUUGUUGUGUUAUAAUGAAAAAACUAAUUGUAAUUUAUCACCAAAAAUGCUGAUGAAUGGUUCAUUCCACUACUAUGACCAUGGUUCCUACUUCCUAUGAUAUGAAAAGUAUAUAAUUUAUUACCAAAAUGCAAAUGACUCGUUCAAUAUUAUUUUUGUUAGCUAGAUAACCAAAAUCGCUUGUGCACAAAAAAAUAAAAAUAACCAAAAUCGUGUCAAAUAAACCGCAAAAUUUACACCAAAACAAGAUUCACUAUUUCAAAAUGAUGGUCAAUUUUGCACUAAACCGAGUUAAACCGGAAAUCAGGUCUGACAAUGUUUACCUGAGUGCGGUGGUCGAGAGUGGAGCUGAUAUCAAUCUCGGUAAGCCAUACCGGAAGCUCAAGCGUGGCGAGUUUGUCAAGGUUGGCUCUCAUCAGCGCCACGUUAGGCCUCGUGAAGUGACCCUCUAGCCCAACUCCGUCCAUCCUCAUACCGCCGCCGUCGUACCUUUCUAGCUCCUUGACCCUCGCGAUAUACUCAUCGACCGUUGACCUCUCGUCACUGCAAGUCUCCACCACGUUGAAAUCAUUAAGGAACAGAGUCGCAAGCGAGUCAAGCUCACGCGCCGCCGCGAAUAACUCGUACGAAGCGUUCUUCCCCAACCGGCUUUCGUAGAAGUCGAAGUGAAGCAUCUCGUUGCUCACGUCCCAGUGCACAAACUCUCCUCUGUAACGAGUCAUAAGGCUCGUUAUACGCUGGUUAACCGCGGACCGGAGAUCUUCCCCGGUUAGAUUACGAACCCAGUCGGGAGUGUAUUUGGGAUCUUCCCAGAAGAUGUUGUGGCCACGAGCGAUGAUUCUAUUAGCUCUGACGAAACUCAUCAUCUGAUCCGCGAAUGUGUAGUUUAGCUUGCCUUGAUGGGGCUCCGUUGCGUACCAUUUAAGCUCGUUCUCGAAGACAGUCGCGUCGAAUCUCUUCACGAACCACUCCUACGAGAUAAACCAAAUAAUAUGUAACGUUGCAUGAAUUGUUAUGGAAGUGUAGCUGAUGCAAUAAUGUAACGUCGCAUUUGCAUGAAUUGUUAUGGAAGUGGCUUACUUGGUAAGGGAUGUUUCCGAGGAUUGUUUUGGAGAUAGCUGAUCCAAUGGGGAAGUCUUUAGCGAUCUGCUCUACGUUCACCACUGCUCCUUCAGCGCUCUCUCCGUUUUCUCCGGCCACGUGAAUUGUCACUGCUCUUUUUCUCGCCUGAAAAUAAGUUUUCACAUAAAGAUUGUCAAAAAAUUUCAGAUAUUUUCUAUAGUAGAAAGUCUUGUUUUGUAUUUUACAGUGUUAAUGAAGUAAUCUUGGUUGUUCUUCCAUUGAUCCUGCGUGAAGGGCUGAAGCGAUGCACUCGCCACUUCUAAUUGGGUUUUACCAUCGUCGUUUGUUGUCUGCAUUAUUAGGAAUUUUUUUAACAUUUAAGUUUGAUUAUGUAACCAAAUCUUUUGAGCAUUAAUGUAUAUGGAAUAGACCUCAAAGAAGAGUAUGGAUAGUUGGGAAGGAGAGUCAAGAAGGAAGCCGCCUUUGAGGAAAGACCAGCAACCUUGUUUUGCAGAUACAGAACCUACGCAGUUUAAGGUGGCGUUGUCUGAUCUCAACUUUGCUCUUACACGAGCUGUUGACGCAGAACCAGCCUCUAUCUUCACCCAAACUGUAUUUUAUUUUUCAGUAGUCUCAAACCAAUCAGAUGAUGGUUACAUUGAGUUAUUUUUAUAUCAGAAGGGAAAUGAUACUUAACUGGAGAAGCAAUAGAUGGUGUUUUGCGUGAGAUUGUGCAAUAUGUAAGCUGGUGUGUAGCUAGCACCAACGCUUCUGAGAGUGUCUCUGCCUGACCCAGAAGCUUCUUCGCCUUUCAGCAUCCCUCCAUUGUAAAGUGGUUUCUCUGGUUCUGCUCUACACUGCUCAUUUCGGUUGUGUUUUUUUCAGAAAUCAGUAUUUACAUAAUUCAACAUAUGAACGAUUAGUUUACAAUAUUAAAUAAAUGUAACAAUCCAAAGCUUAAAACCUCUGUAUAGGCAGUAGAAUCGUAGAAAGGUCCAUCUGCACAUGAAGAUCAAUCUAUCAAGCUAAAAAGUCUUGUAUAUAAUAUGGUGUAGGAUCAUAAGUACCAUUUGACGAAGAAACAAGUAUGAAAGCGGCGAGGAGCGAAUAAAUGGCACAAAAAAUGAAACCAAUGAUGGAAGAAUGUUUCAUGAUUCAGAGCAAGAACACAAAAAAAUCCUGAGAUUUGAAAGGGAAAAGGAGAGAGAGAGAGAGAUGAGGGGGAUCGAUGAAACCAAGUGUGUGUCCCGAUAUGAUUGGAUGAAGGUGGUUACACCAUUCCCUAAUUGGGAAGAGUUUGAUUCAGAGAGGGAACACAAUAUGACAGAGCACACAGUAACCUAUUUAGUGAGUUCACGUGACGAUGUUGUUAUACGCGAAGUGGGUGGGUUCUGUGCAAAGUGCUUCAUGUGAACUCGUGCUUUUAUAUAUUUGAUUGUUCAGCUACUUUAGUACUUUCUUUCCCCCACGGGAGUAUGCUUUCACUACAAGUUAUUAACCCAUUUCGUACCCUUUUGUUUUGUGUGUGUGUAUAAAAAAACUUACGCCUGCAAAAUUGAAGUGCACGCUCUUGUAGUCCAGUCCCCAGGGACCAUUUUCCUCUCGCAUGCGACGCUUUGGGCUUUAAUGGGCUCGGUCUCAUUAAGCCCAAUGGUCUCAAAUAAUUAUUUUAAUUAUUUUUCCUUUAAGCCCGUUUCAAACACAUGGAGUCUGAAAUUAUUUAUCCCUGGUCAAAGACUCAAAGGAUCUGAUCUAUAUAUUAUUUUUUUGGGUCGAGGAUCUAUACAUUAUUUAAUGUUUUCUUCAUGUAUUUUCCUUUAGCAAUAAUGUUGUAAAGACUAAAGAGACACUAAAAAUAUUUAAGUGCGACUAAAGAUAACACUUAUGUAAUAAAAAGUCAUUUUCAUUACAUAACUUUUUGGACGGUCUAAAACGUAAUUAUCUUUAAAUUUUUUUUUUUAGAAUUUCUGGUGGCGAUCAUCUUCGCUUCGCCGCUUGGGCGGUGGCCGUAGUUACUAAUUAACUGUGAUUAACCGCAAAUGAUAAUUAAAGUCUCGUCGUCUUCUGCUACUACUGUCACCUUCUCCACUUUUUAGCUCAAUCCUUCUCCUCCAGAGAGGCUGAGCUUUCUCCUCUCUCUCUCCCCAUCUCCGACACCAUGGCUGCUGACGACGGCGACCCCACCAAAUUCGCCGCGAUCUCCUCCUCCUCCUCCCCUCUUCUCUCCAAACCCUCCACGUCAGCUCUCGAUUCCCCGCGUCGAAGUAGCGAUCCCGAAUCCGACCCGACACAGUUCCUCCAGAUCUCUUACAACUUCGGUCCUAGACCUUUCAAAGACGUCGCUUUCCUCCUCCUCUUCGACCUCUUCGUCUUCUCCACCUUCGGCUUCGGCGUCUUCUCCGUCUUCCAUAGGAAUACUGAUUACGGCGACUCCUCUUCCUUCUCCUACGAUCUCGCCUCCACCUCUUGCCUCAAAGUCUCCACCUUUACGAGGUUUUCGAAUAGUUAUUGGUCGGAUCCGGUCUUUGAGAAGGAUUUGAUCUGGACCCUUGUUGUAACGCUAAUCUUAAGCGCGCCGUUUUGUUUUCUUGUCCUGCUUUUGCUCAAACACUACACUAAGCAGAUAGUUUACGCUUGUUUGCCUCUCUUUGUCCUGUUCCCGAUCUUCUUCAAUGUUUACUGGUUCGUCGCUUGUACUCUUAGCUCCUCUUGUAGCGACGCACUCCCUCUAGCUUACAGAGUCCUUCUCCUAGUGUUUGUUUUCUUGAUCGUGGGGGUCAUUGUCUGGAUCAUUGUAGCGAACUGGCAUAGAAUCGAGCUGACGAUUCAGAUCAUCGGUGUUGCGUCGGAUGCACUGUCUAAAAACUUGAAGCUUUUUGUUGUGUUGCCGUUGUUGAUCCUCGGGUUGGUUGUGUACUACGCGCCGAUUGUGGUGUUCUUGGUGUUUGCUAGGUUUAACGGCGAGUUUGUGCCGAGGGAGGUGGAUGGUGAUGAGUAUGUUUGUGAGUGGAAGGAAGAUUCGUGGGUUCCUGCUUACUACGCUCUUGCAAUCAUAACUAUGAUUUGGUCUCUUGCUGUAAUGGUGGAGAUGCAAGUGUAUGUUAUCAGUGGAGCUAUUGCUCAGUGGUAUUUCUCCAAGGAAGACUCAAUGCCUAAGAAAUGCAUACGGAGCUCUUUGAGGUGAUUUGUGAUUGUGAUUGUGAUUCCCCCUUUGAUUCCUUUAGUUUAUGUGCAGUGUUUGACAUCUCUGUCUCUCUCUUUCAGGAACGCGUUUGGUCAAUCCUUUGGUACGAUAUGUCUCUCGGGGAUCCUCGUAGGGGUUGUUCGUGUUGUCCGAGCCAUUGUGGACAACGCGAGAGAAGAGAAUCCACAAGGGAUAGUGAACUUUGCUCUUCGUUGCUGUGCAAAUGCCUUGCUUGGAGCUUUUGACUAUCUCAACAAGUUCACCAUCAACUUUGCUGCGAUAACUGGCGAGUCUUAUUGCACCUCUGCCAAAAUGACUUACGAGCUGUUAAGACGGAACCUGCUCUCAGCUGUUUUUGUGGAAACUGUUUCCACUAGGAUCCUAACCGGAAUAGUUUUUGUCCUCUCAGCUGCUUAUGCGGUCGCGGUGAGUAUAAGACAACUUGUGCAUCUUCUCACUAACCAAACCUUUGAGUUACUAAUUUUGGUGUGUUAUGUUGUGAAAAACAGACAUGGGCUGUACUGAGAGGAGUGAGCAGCUUGGGUGUAGAUUCGUACUUGGUGGCUAUCUUGGCGUGGCUAUUACUGACAGUGGUCUUGGCUUUCUUUGUACAUGUUCUUGAUAAUGUGAUAGACACGAUCUAUGUAUGUUACGCGAUUGAUCGAGACAAGGGAGAUGUGUGUAAGCAGGAAGUUCACGAGGUGUAUGUUCACUUGCCUAUCAGCAGAAGCACAAGAUCUGCGCUCAUCCCAAAUGCUCUUAAUGCAUAGGAGAAGAUGAUCCCAAUGUCUCUGCUUGUUUUUGUUUUUUUUUUACAUUUGUUUUUCACCAUUGUAAAUUCCUGAGUAGAGUGGAUCUGGUGAAUUAUCGUUUGUAUUCCUGGGGAUUAUAUUUUGACGCUGUGGGAUAAUUUUGAAUAAAAACAGAGUUUUAGAAAUAAACAAGGCAUCGAUAUUCGGAUUGGUUAUUUUUCGGAUUUAAAUUGCUUAGUUAUGAUCGGAUCAAUUAUGAUCUGGAUUAUUGAUCGUUAGAUUACUUAAUUCUUUAACAUGUCUUGGAUUUCAAAACAUUCUAAUUCUUUAACAUGUCUUGGAUUUCAAAACAUUUGGUCAUUUGGAACAACCAAGUAUUUGAAUUUUUUUGGUCUAGGUUGGUUCUUUGUAAAACUAGAUCGAUCCGGAUUUAUAGUUUAAGAUAAUCAUAGUUUUAGAUAUGAUUAUGGUCUGGGUUGGUUCUUUGUAAAAAUAGAACACACAUGAUCAUAGUUUUAGAUACGGCAAUUGUCAAUAAUAGCACCUUUUGAAGUUUAUGUCUCAAAAAGAGCACUAGAAGGAGAAAGUCACAAAAAUGACAUUUAUUAAAAGAUAAAAUGUUCCUAAUAUCUUUGGUUUAAAUUAAAUAAACAAACAAAAAUAAAAUAAAAAUAAAAAAAAAAAAAUUUUUUUAUAGUUUCAGAUUAUAUGUUUUCAGAUUCGAAAUUUUUAUAAUUUUUUUUAUAAAAAUUUUUUUGAAUUUUUUUUUAUUUUUUUUUCAAAUUUUCUUUUUAUAGUUUAAAAAUAAUUUUUGAAACUGUUUUAUAAAUUUUUUAUUUUAGUAUUUAUUUUUUAUAAAAUUUUAAACCUUAAUUCCAAAACCCCACCCCCUUAACUCUAAACCCUAAGGUUUGGAUUAGUUAACCCAAGGGGUAUAAGUGUAUAUUUACUUCAUUAAUGAAACCUAUUUUUGUGACUUUGAGCCUUGAGUGCUACUUUGGGAACAAAAACUUGGUUUGAUGCUAUUCUAGUCUUUUUCUCUUUUAGAUAUUCAUGUUUUUGGUUAGGUAUGAAUCGGUUAUUAACAUCAGGUCUGUUUAAAACGAUCUUUUCGGAUUCUGCAUUCGAAUCUAUUCGGAUCAAUUAUUUUUGGUUUUGGUUUUUUUGGAUAAAUGAAUUUUAGACUUAACUAGGUUUUUUAUAAAUUUUCUAUGAGAGUUUUUUUAGAUAUCCAGACCUAGAAUAAACAUUGUUCGGUUCUUUUUACAUACAAUAAAGAUGAACUCUAAUGAGGAGUUAAAAUCUCGAUGAGGUACUCCCACCAUUAACAAAUUUAUAUUGCCUAGUUGAUGUUUUUUGGAAGAGUAACCAAGAGCUAGCAGGAAUAGGAUGGUCCUUACACAGUAAAGAAGGCAUCAAAAAGAUAAGAGGUUCCUCUUCUAUCAUGCCAACAAAUACAUCUAUAGAAACAGAGGUAAUGGCAAUGUUAAUGGCAGUCCAACAAAUCAAAAGCUUACGGUAUGAGAAUGUCGCUUUUAUUAGCGACUGUAAGCAAUUAAUAGAUGAGUUAAAUCAGUUUUAUGCUGAAGAAACCAUCAUCAGUAAGCGUGUCACGGAGGCUGCCUCUAUGAUACGAGACAUCUACAACAUAUCAAGAGCUUGUAAUUUCACUUUUCACUUUAUGUCCUGAUCUUUUUUAAAUGUUGUAGAUGCACUAGCUAAAGAAGCAAGAACUAAAAACCAAAGUUAUGUAAUAUCUUGGUUUGCUUAAUAAUAAAAUGUUGACAAAAAAAAAAAAGAUGAGGUUGAAAUGUUAUAUCCACAAAUUGGUAAAUGUUGAUAAUUGAGCGCAGAAAAAAACAAUGGGGGGUGAAAUUGUUACCAUCGAGUCAUUGUGGCAAAACUGAAAUAAACAUAAAAAUACAAGGGUCUUAAAGAGCAAAGUAAAAUAUUAAGAAGCACAAGCGCUUUAUCAUCGGUCUAAAUCUCAGAAGCUACCUGACUUUCUCUCUACGGCGACGCAAUUCGAAGAAGCUUCUCUCUCUAUCUCUCGACACGAUGGUUCUCGAGGUGAUUUUCUAGUUCCAUCUGCUUCUGAUUUCGAUCUCUUCAUCGAUCUCCCCUUGUUUGAUUCGCUGUGAUUGGAUGUUUGAUUUAAUCCGUAGGCGACUAUGAUUUGCAUCGACAACUCCGAGUGGAUGCGAAACGGAGAUUACUCUCCCUCUAGGCUACAGGCUCAAACCGAAGCUGUUAAUCUUCUCUGUGGGGCCAAAACCCAGGUAAAAAGUUGAACACUUUGAUUCGAUUAGGGUUUUCGAUUGUGCUGUUGGUUGUGAAUUUAGGGAUUUUUUUUUCGUUUUGUCAAUUGCAGUCGAAUCCGGAGAAUACAGUGGGGAUCUUGACAAUGGCUGGGAAAGGAGUUAGAGUUUUGACAACUCCUACCUCUGAUCUUGGCAAAAUCUUGGCGUGUAUGCAUGGUGAGUCUAGUGAAAGAGAUUGGAAAACAAUUUUUUUGACAUCAGUUUUGCUAACUUGAACCAUCUUUUUUUCAGGACUUGAGGUGGGAGGGGAGAUUAACUUAACGGCUGCGAUACAGAUUGCUCAGCUAGCUCUUAAGCAUCGUCAAAACAAGAAUCAACGCCAAAGGAUUAUUGUUUUUGCUGGAAGGUUCUGACUUUCUUGUGUUCAUGCAUAGUUAUCUGUUUAUUUUGUGUUUAGUUAUCUGAUGUUUGUGUUGCUUUUUUAUAGCCCAAUCAAGUAUGAAAAGAAGGCCUUGGAGGUUGUUGGGAAAAGGCUCAAGAAGAAUAGUGUCUCUCUUGACAUUGUCAAUUUUGGAGAUGAUGAUGAUGAGGAAAAACCUCAGAAACUUGAGGCCCUCCUUGCAGCUGUCAAUAACAAUGACGGAAGCCACAUUGUUCAUGUUCCUUCUGGGGCCAAUGCUCUCUCUGAUGUGCUUCUCAGGUAUCAUCAGUUUUCUUCCUUCUUUAGGUAGAUUGUAAUUGGAACAGUUCAUACAUUUGAGAAAGGCAUUGUAUGAGCUCUGGAGUCUUUAAAGAACUUUGUUUUUAUCUAUACGUGUUUUGUUACCAGUUACCACUGUGUCUGUAGUUGAAGUUAUCUUUAUAAUGUGUUAACUCUUAAAUUUUCUUGCAGCACACCUGUAUUCACGGGUGAUGAGGGUGCAAGUGGGUAUGUUUCUGCGGCAGCUGCUGCAGCUGCAGCGGGUGGUGACUUUGACUUUGGUGUGGAUCCAAAUAUCGACCCAGAACUUGCUCUUGCCCUUCGAGUCUCCAUGGAGGAGGAGAGAGCAAGGCAAGAGGCUGCUGCUAAGAAGGCAGCCGAUGAGGCAGGUCAGAAAGACAAAGACGGGGAUACAGCUUCGGCCUCACAGGAGACGGUUGCUAGGACAACCGAGAAGAACGCUGAACCAAUGGUUAGUCGUUAGCCACUUUGUGUGUCUAUCCUUCUUAGUAGUAUUUUAUUAUUAUAUAGCCACAGGCAAGCAUUGUUUACCGUACAACUUUAUUAUUAAUCAAAAAUUUGUGGCAGGAUGAGGACAACGCAUUGCUAGACCAGGCAAUUGCUAUGUCCGUAGGUGAUGUAAACAUGUCAGAAGCGGCGGAUGAGGACCAGGAUUUGGCUUUAGGUGAGUAGAGCUUUGUAGUAAAAUCAUAUUAGUGGUCUAUGAAAAGUAGCCUUCGCUUGUAAAUGUGACAAUUAGAAGAUAAAUUUUUAUUGCUUUGGGUGUUUUGAGUAAAGACAAGACCCUUAUGUUUGAAUCUGGUCCAUGUGCAGCGCUGCAAAUGUCAAUGAGUGGGGAAGAGUCAGGUGAAGCUACGGGUGCUGGAAACCUCUUAGGAGAUCAAGCUUUCAUAUCAUCUGUUCUCUCAUCGGUAAGCUUUUACUUAAUUAAACGUCUGAAUUUUUACAAGCAAAGCGAAAGGGAAAAGUAGAUUGGUCCUAACUGUUUGUCAAUACACAGCUUCCAGGGGUGGAUCCAAAUGAUCCAGCGGUUCAAGCGCUGCUAGCGUCUCUGCCAGACGAAUCAAAGGUGCGUCUUGCAUUGGUUUGAACAAGUUUUCUUGGUUGAUAAUGAAGAUACACCGUGAUAAUGUAUUAUGUUAAAAUUUGCAGCGUAACGAGGAAGAGAGUAACAGCAAAGGUGAGGAUGAGAAGAAGUGAAGAAGGAGACAGACGUAUCAUCAUGGCUCUCAAUAAAAUGCCUCUCUUUUGUUUGGUUUGGUAUGAUAGAGAGAUCAUAUGAGACUGAAGAAGAACUCUCUUAUUAAUCUCUGCCUUUAUGACCUUGUUUGUUCUCACGCUUUUUCAUUAAUGUUAAAUGUUGGUCAAGAAAUACAAGUCCAGUCGUGUCUGCCUUGGCAAGUCAUGAACCCCUGGACGAAUCGUUGAAUCAUUUCGGUAGUUCGGUCUAGGCGCAAAAAAAAAAACCAGUUACUAAACAGAUAAAAUCGCAAGUUAAAAAUACAAAUUCACUCAAGGUAACACACAUGGCAUACAAAUUUUUGAUGGAACACUAUUAGAAGAGAGUAAGGUCGCAAACAUAUGGGAUAAGGAAGUAUGAAGCCGAGUUUUAAGACACUCAAGGGACCGGGCCAACCAUUUUUACGGCAAUAAAAAUUUACAAAUUUUUAUUUUUCCCUUAAUAGAGCAAGGUAGGGAAAAGACAAAAGGAGUCGCAAGACUCACAGCUACAAUAUUAAAAAGGAAAACUACGUAAUAUAAGAAAUAAAAUAAAAAUCUAACGGAAGCUUCUAAAUGCAUCUACCUAACAUCUUUGAAAAAGCUGGUUUGAAAUAUAACAAAUUAAUAUCAAAAUUAAAUAAAUGCUUUUAGAAAGAAGAAGAGGAGGCAGGUGCGUCUGUCUUCCUCACUUGUGUGGUCAUCUUUUGGCUUUUUGUCCUUUUCCUUUUUCUCCUUAUCCUCAGUUCUCGCCACUCUUCUCUUCCAUCCCUCUCAUUUCCAAAAUAUCCUAUCGAAUGUGCAUUGAUAAUCCAAACUUUCGAAAUGGGAUCACUCAAAACGAAAAAUUUCCAUAUCAAAUACUAAAAAAGACAUUUAAAAUUUGGUUAGAGUAGAGGUAAUUUUAGACUUCAUACCAUCAUUAUUCAGUUCGUCUCUUCAACAGAAUGAUGUAUACCAUGCUUAAUCCCCGGUGCAAGUAAAGUCAUCGCAAUUAGUAUUGCUAGCAACUUACUGAUCACGUAAUCAAUAUAUAAUAAUGAAAAAUAGUUGUAUCUAUUAUUUUGGGAUUUGAGAUAUAGUAGAGGACUUCUUCAAAAGUUUUGGGAGUUUAACGAACAUAUCCAACACCGGUCUAAUAAGCAUCUUAUGAUAGAAAAAUGUUUUACUUUACUACGAGUCACGACUUUCUAAAUUCAAGCAGUUUGUAUGCAUGCAUAUAUGAGCAGCAGGGUAUAUUGCAUGUGUAUGCAUGCAUGUGGAAUUGUGAAAAAUGUAUUAAUAUGUCUAUAUGCAUCGCAAGUGGACAAAAGAUGAUGAAUGGUUGGUAUAUAGGUUGGUAGGAAGAUGGGUAGUGAGAAAUAAAUAGAGUUUGGUAGAAGAAAGGGUCUAUUGGUUUGGUUGUUGCUUCCUUCAUUUAUGUUAUUUUCCUUUUUUAUAUCUAAUAUUAAUGUUGCUCCUACAACUUAUCUACAAGCCUCACUCUCCAUCUGUCAUGAAUCGGUUGGAUUUAUUUCCAUUUCACAUUCUUCAUAUAUAUAUAUAUAUAUAUAUAUAUAUAUAUAUAUAUAUAUAUAUCUUUUGUUAGAGAGCUUAAAUGAAAAGAUAUCAUCUCUUUGUAAUCUGACUAUUAUAUGCGGAAACCAUAUACUUAUAAUCUUUUCUCCUGAUUUGGCUUAUCUCCAACAUUGGAUAAUGAGGCUUUUUAGGCAACCAACCUCUAACUGCAUAAACUAAUCUCAACCACAAGAAAUUUUAUCUUACCAAUUGUAUAAUACGAUUUUUUUCUUUCUAUUCUCGUUGAAAAUAGUUCGAUAAUCUACACUCCUUAUAGGUUUGUUUAAGCACUUAAAAUUACUAACUCAAACUAUGUUGGUUUCUCUAUAUAUGGAAAAAUUUUAUCACACAUAAUUCCUGGAACAGGUACAUUUUUAAUAUUUUUGCAAUGAAAAAUUUCGAUAUAAGAAAAUUGUUGAGUAAGAAAUAUGUUCUAUGUGUAGUUUAAAAUCCAACAGUAAAAAAAUUCAUACAGAGUGAAUGAUGAAUAAUAAUAGUGUACCUUAAAAAUAAUUCUAUAGGCAAAAAAAGUUUGUACAGUUACGCACUUGGCAUAAUUUGACAUUAAUAUUAUAUCAUCUCCAAGCUUCGAAAACCUAAAAGAGAAGUAGUAGUAGUCUCUUUCGUUGCCAACCCUAAGAAAUCGAAUCCGUGGCUGAUGUCACCCCCAUUGCCAGUACUGCCGCUGCUACCUCCAACUACAUCGCAUCUUAUGCUUCCGCAUCUGCACUCCAUGCCGUUUAUCAUCCCUAAACUGCACCGGAAACAACGGGCCCUUGUUGACUUUCCCUCAACAACAUCAGGAAGACUGAUUCUGAGCUCAAGAUUCAAAUCUGGCAACUUCUCUUCAGUUAGGAACUCGUCUUUUUCCUCUUUGAACGUAAGCAUUGAGAUUUUCUCUGGUUUUACUUGAAAACAGCUUGUGCUUUCCAUCUUUGGAGUAGAAGUGAAAGAUAUGUUAAUGGUGUUGUUACUCGUUAUUGCUUCUAUUAGUUGUGUAGGUUUAGAAUCUUGAGAAGCUGAUGAUGAUUCUUGGACUGGUCUAUGAGUCGUUGGAUCAAUCCCUCUGUUUAUAAGCUUUCUUCGUAUAUGUGUGUUCCAAUAAUUCUUUAUCUCGUUAUCUGUUCUUCCCGGUAAUCUCCCGGCAAUAAGCGACCAUCUACAACAAGAAUAAUAUAUUAGUUUUGAAAAAAUAAAAACAAGAAUAAUAUAUAUAUAUAUAUAUAGAUACAAGUUUAGCAUCAAAAGUUCAAGCUUCUUUUUAUUUGCAUGAAAUUUUAAAAAGAAAGUCCCUAUAGACUAUAAGUACUCACUUGUUUCCAAGAAGGCUAUGGAGCUUGAUGAUGAGCUCGUCCUCGUCCUCGGUGAAGUUUCCACGCUUUAGGUCAGGCCGGAGAUAGUUGAUCCACCGGAGACGGCAGCUUUUGCCACACCGAAGAAGGCCGGCGGCUUUGGGGAGAGAUCUCCAGCAGCCUUCGCCAUGAGCUUUGAUGUAUGCUGUGAGCCUCUCGUCCUCUUCUUUCGUCCAUGCUCCUUUGUUUGUGUGAGCUUUCUCACAACAUGGUGACCUUCCCAUACUUUUUCUUUCUGUUUUCUGUGUUUAGAUCUUAUUAUUUCUUGAUAUGAAAAUCUUGCAUAUAUAAAUAUAAAGAGGUAUGAAUUAAUCAAGUGUGUUUAUGUUACUUUAUAUGUAUACUGGGAAUUGGCUUUUAGCGAGGGUUUUGGCUAAAAGGGACUAACUUGUUUUUUUUUUUGUAGUGGAAGAUGAUUAAGGCAUUUGGUGGGGCACUUGGAUUUUGGGUUUGGUUGAAGGUUCAAAGCUUUGGUGUAUAGUUUAUAUAAGGUUUUGACUUAAAGCUGUAGAGCGAUACAUAUACAUAGAUUGUAUACAAUUGCUUCUAGAUGAUAGAGGCGUAGAGGUAGAGAGAGAGAGAGUUGAACUUUAUAAUUGCUUCUAGAUGUGAGUUGGUGGGAUGGAUUUGAAUGGGUAGUGUAUGGUGGCCUUUCGUUUUGGUACAAUAAGUGAGAGCUUGACAUAUAUGGCAUCAUGGUCUUUAGAAAAAAAAAAUUUCUAAUAAAAAUGACAAGUGACAACAAUUUAAUAUUUUAUUGCCGCAAUACAUUAACCAAAGAAAAGUAUCGUAUUAAAUCGCUAGUAAUACAUAUUUACAAAAUGUUUUAACAAUUUUGUUAUUUUUCCUUGCAUUUACAGCAAUUUUGAUCUCUUUCAUAGAACAAACAUUUAAAAGAAAAAGAUAUUAAUAUCAUCUAAAUUCUUCGACUGACAUAGUAUUAGUGUUGACAAAUCAAACUUUAACUUCGACCGAUUUAAUUAGUACAUCAGGUAAGUCUUACCAAUGUUUGCACGUUUUAAUUGCAUGAUCAAGCUUGUAAUAAAAGUAGGAAAGAAGAAAAUUCAAUUAAACAUACAAAAUCCGAAAUUCGGUAAACUGAAAGUUUGGGAAUGGCCUUUACCGCCAGGUAUCGCCCCUAAUAAAAUUUAUCAUAAUAUAAAUAAGAAAGUGGAUUCUUUUGAUAAAAAAAAAGUGGAUUCUUAAAAUAAAUUUGGUAGCAAUAAUGAAGAGGAGGGCAAUUAAGUUGUGGGAGUAGGUAAAAAGUUAAUGAGUGAUUUUGAACAAGUGCAGGUCAACUGUAGGCGGUGAGGUUUGUACUGGGUGUAUAGACUGCACUCUGUUAAUUAUUGUUUUUAAUAAUCUACAUAGAUCUUAGAAACCCUAAUACAAUUACUCGCUAACACAAAUUAAAGCACUAUCAAGUAACUAAUUAUGUGGGCAUGGUAUAACUUAUAGAAAUAUUUUUUUUUUGAUGAAAAAAAUGUUAGGAUCAUGUAUAAACCGGGGUUUUGAACCGGACGUGAAUAAAACACGCAACCAUUUGAUCUGGAGUCAGACGCGCUACCAUUGCGCCACGGAUCCGAUAUUAUAGAAAUAUAUGGUUGGUUCUAAAUUUUAUCUCAGAUGACAAGCACUUCGUGUUUAGCAUAUUUGUGAUCAUGGUCAUGUUUCUUUUAUAUGUAUGCAAAAAGUUUAAAACAAUAUACAACAAUAACCACCAACAUAUUUUCUUUAUAAGAAAACCACCAAAACAGAAUAUACAUAUAUAAACAUGUUUAGAUAUAAAUCUUUUGGACAUAAGAAUGUGCCUUCUAGAACCUUGGCUUAGAAUGGUUUUCUAAUCCAACUAACUUUUUAAAAAUAUUCGAGACUUGUAAACCAAGACUUAACAAAUAUUUUAGAAACAGUUUUAACCACCAACUGUACAGUCUGGACUGGAUAUAAUACCACUAGUCGUAUAUAUCACUUUUACCUUUUGUAGAACAUGAAAAGUUGGAAAAUUAAUUGUUUCCAUCGUAUUUUUGUAACACAUGUGACUAUGUAAGAAAAAAAAGUUGAACGAUUACAGUAGUUAGUAGAAUAGUACAUUAAUUUUAUUGUGUGUAUGUAUGCGUACCCAUAUAUACUUUAGACAAAAGUGGAACUAAAUUGUGAAAUUUGGUAAGUUAGGUGGAAAUUUUGAGAAGACUUUUAAAAUAAUAAUGGUUUAUUGAAUUGAGAUGGAAAAAACGAAAAAGAGAGAAAGUUGUUGAACUUCAAUUUUUAAAGUCUAUUGGUCUACAAUCACUCACCUCAUGCAUGAUGAUGGCGCUCUUCUAGAAUGUUAGAUUCUCAGCUAGGGGCAGAGAUUCUUCAAAUCAGAAACAGAAGCUCUAUUCAUUUACAUUUGAAUAAAAUCAUCAAAAUCCAGAUUCACUUUUAACGUUCACCAAUUACCCUAAUUAAUUGAUUUUCUUGAUCUGUUUUCUUUACAAUAUAUUAAAAUAGGCCAACUAGCAAGUUGUACCAAAAUAGACCAAUUAGCUAGUAUUGUUUUAUGAAAAAACAAAUACAUAAACACUACACGCAAGGAGCUUUUUAAACAUCAUCGUUUACAUAGUUCUGCUGAAUUAUUCUUUAUGCAUAUAUGUAGUAGAAUAACAUUUUUUAUUAGUAAUAAUGGCCUAAUGGGAUUGUAAAUGAUGUGGACGAAAUAGCGAUGUGUGAAAUAACGAGUAUACUAUAGAUGCGCUAUAAUGAUAUAUAGUACUGCUAACAAUUUUGUCAUUUUCUUGGCGUAAGUGAUAUGUUUAAGAGUUGGAUGGUUAUAUCCUAUUUUUAAGUCCGUAUGCGGUUGGGGAAGUGGGGUUUGGUUCACCUUCCACUUUUUUAUUUUCAAUUGUUUUAAUGAUGGAUUCAUAUUUUAAUUUUAACAUUGCGUAUUUAUGUUAUAUAUGACCACCUUUAUCUUGAGAUAGAUUUAGUUGAAAACCGAAAAGAGCUCGUAACAGUUAUAUUAUAAACUACUGUAGGAAUUUAAUUUUAGCAGAGUAAGAAUGCAAGAUAUUACUAUGAUCGGUUUCCGUUGCGAAUACGUGAAAAAAAGUUGAAUGCUUAUUGCUUGGUGACGGUGGGGGAUUAAUAAUAGUAUAAUACAUAAAUAUGGUCACAGUCACACAUAUCUACUUAUACAAAUACGUAGAAGAUUGGAUAUAAUAUAGAGAGGUCCAUAUCAACCAAGUGUAGAUAAAUGUGAAGGUCGAAAAAGAUUUUUAAAAAAACGGGAGAGAACAAGAGAGAAAAAGAAGAGAGAAGCGAGAGAGAAAAAGUGUCGGUGUCCCCGACGCCCGGUGGCGCGUCCGCGCGCGUGCCGGCGUCGGUGGUUCAUCUUUUUUCGGUUUAGUCAAGGAUCUCUGCUGUGGGCUUCGAUCUACCGAUUCUCCCGACAUGCUAACGGAUCUGGGUUGGGGUAUUGCGCCAAGAAGGGCUCGGCUCGUACGGUGCUCCAUACGGCGGUGAUGCUGCUUUCUCUGGUUCCGUGGUGAGGGGUGAAGAACGGUUACUCGUAGCGGCAGGCUCGUGAUUUCAGGUUCAGUUUCCGGGGAGUAGAGGCUCUUUCAGCUCUACGACCGCCGGCCUUUGUUUCUGGGAGACGGUGGCUCCUUUAGCACCGUCAUCGCCGGCUCCUGUUCCCGGAAGGCGGUAGCUUAGUUAGUAUCGUUCUUCUCGGCUUUGGUCCUUUAUCUUCGCUUUAGUCUUUGUAGGUUUUUUUUCUAGCUCUUCCUCCUCUGUGUAGUCUGUUAAUCAAUGCUUCAAAGCUCUUCCGCCUCUUGAUCUCUCACCUGAAACGACUCGUGAAUGUCGGGGGUGCUGGGUCAAUGGUAGACGGUUCUCUUGUGACUGCGCAGAUCGUGUUUAAGGGUGGUUGGAUCAGUCGGCAUGGGAUACGGACGAGAUCGCGAUGGGGCUGAUGCUCUCCGAUGAUAGAUCCCAUGCGACUUGAAGCUAGCGCGGUGGUUAGUUGGGGAUGGGGCAGCGCCGCCGUCGUUGGGUGUGCCGCGGGAUUUAGGGUUUCCUGUCUUUGGGCGUUUGGGUGUGGGCUCAAGGCCCGGUUUGUUUGGGCCGAAGGCUAGGUGGUCUGGUGUUAUUUGGCCCGGCCUGUUUGGGCUUUUGUAAUGGUUUCAGUUUGGACUUUGGGCCUUUUAAUUAAAUUAUUAAGACGGAAAAAAAAAAGAUAAAUGUGAAGGUAUUUAAUUGUGUGCCUAGCUACUCUUUUUCAGUUGAGUUUUCAUCAUUGCCGAGCCUUUGAUUAUUUAUCUCCAAAUUCAACAACGGUGAUGAAAUAUGUUAUUCAAACACAGUUAUACAAAAGAAGAUCAAACACACUUUAAAUCAAGGCAAUGUAAAUCAAUUUAUGACAGUUUCGGUGGAGAUGCGAUUUAAUUUUAAGCAUAACAGGUAAACCAGAUUUGGUGCAAUCUAUAUAUUUGGUCAAAGAAUCCAAUUUAUAGCACGAAAAGAAUCUUAUCAAUUUUAUCCACCCCCUAAAGCCACAUAUGUGACAAUUUGAAGCAAAACCAUACUUUGAUUACCAAAUAGUUCGAACAAUAGGGCAAAAGAAGGUCAUACCAUAAAGACGUGGGUAAAAUAUACAAAGGCAUGCAUGCAGUUUAUAUGAUUGAUAGCCGAUUUCACCAUAUUCAAGUUUUCUUUGAUGUGGUUCACUUUUAACUUCAUGCAACUAUAGCACAUUUAUGAGUGGGUGGCUAUCAAAGUGACUAGUAAGCAGUGUCAUGGUUUUGAUAAAACGGUCGGGUAAUUAAUACCCUAACGCAAACCAAUCUGUAAGUUCCGGUGGUUUCACUCCCUGGAGGCUGGAGGUGAGAAAAGAGAUUCGUGUGCAGGAGGAGAUGGCAUUAGGCUCUUUCAAGUCUCGCGUUUUAUGAUCUCGAAAGUUGGAUCCGCUAGAUCUACAGCGGUUUUGGAGGUCGUCUAUGGUCUUCAUCUAUUUAUUCACGGCAUCACUUCAGACCUUUUCGGUUAUGCCUCCUUUCCGGCUCAUUCGUGGGUGUUCAGUAAAGGCUUUCAUUCCAGAUGUGUUUUUUCAGGUGUUUUUCGGGUUCCCUUGCUCUGUUGACACCGAUUUAGGGUAUUUUAGCUCAAUUUUUGAAUUUCAGUUGUCUGUGGUCACAAAUAUGGAGACGGUUUCAGAGAGUUAUUGAUUAACUAUGUAUCAACAUUUGAUAUUUGUUCACGUCCCAGGCGUCGUCGAAGCUACCUUGAUGUUUUGCAGCGGUGCGCACUUUGAUUGUCUUUGCAUGUUAUUGGAGUCUCUCUGGUCUGGUGGUGGCGGUGCAUUCAAACCGUAUUUGGUUAUGUGUGUUACGACAUAGAGGUGUGUACAGCUCGGUUGUGUGACCCUCACCCUCAGUAAGGGCCCUUGAAACCUAUACUUCUAUUGUUCGUUGGGCUUCAUUGACAGUGACAUUUACAAGUUGAAGGAGUUCAUCAGAAACUAUCUACCUAGAAUGUAAUAAAUUGUCUUGGGAACUUUUGUUCAAAUUGGAUUUAUAAAUGAAUAGUAAUUUCUAUUUUUCGGGUUAAAUUAAUUAAAAAAUAUAUAUAUAUAUAUAUAUUAAAAAAAUCUGUAAGUUCCAAACAAGGGCAUAUAAAAGAACUAAUGUAUUAUAUAAUGUCAUGUUUUUUUUUAAAAAAAAAUGUAAAAUAAUUUAUAUAUGUCUUCAUCCAAUUAACAAACUCAAACCCAAACAACCAAAAUUUCUACAUUUAGUUUUUAAAUUAGCGUGUGAUGGCUAAAGAAAAAAAGAAGAAUAAAUUUGUAUCUUUGCAUAGAUCCAGAGGCGUGCCUACAGUGUAUUGAAAAAGGCAUUCGCCUUAGGCCCCCGAAUAAUAUUACAUUUUUAGGGUCCCAAAAUUUAAAAAAAAUUCUAGUUUAGUUGGUUAAAUUUCUUUCUAAAAAAAACUUUCUAUGAGAAUCGAAUAACUCAAUUUCUAAAUCCAUAUAUUUUUUUUAUAGGACAUAACAUUGCAUAUUUACGUAAUAAACUUAUUUUUGUAAGUGUUAAACUUAUGUAUUUCGCGAAGGUGAUAUAUCGUAUUAGAAAUUUUUUUUUUUUAUAGUUGUAUGUAAUUUUUUUUUUUAAACUUGCCUUAGGCCCUUAAAACCCUUCGCACGGCACUGCAUAGAUCACAUGCAUUUCAUUGAGUAGAUUCAUUAAAUAAGUAGAUAGAUAGAUUUUAUUAUCAUAUUUAUUUUCUUGACAAACCCUAGUUUUUCCUUACUACAAUCAUAAAAGAAGAAUAUAUUUGUAUUUUGUUUUUGUGUAUGACUAAUUGUAAUGUGUUUGAUAUAUACCAUGGAUAGUAGUGAGAAGGUAGAGUUCAAAGUAUAAGAAAGCGAACCCCUCCAUAGUGGGGGCUUAAACCCGUGCAAGCUUGCAUAUAUCUAUAGCUGAUGGUUGGGCCCAAACUUAUAUCUUGGGCUUAUUUUGUUUCCAUCUGUCCAGCCCAUGAUAAAGUGUAAAACGACACCGUAUAAAGCUUAAUGGAGUAAACGAAUCACACGUAGCGGGGAUCCCCGUGUCAGUUCUUGUCCGAAAAGCUGGACGGAGGAAAACGGCAUCGUAUUCGCUUCGCUUGAAUAUAUAUAUUUUGCGCAAAAGCCCUUUUCAUCCCUUUCUUCUCUCAUUACUCGAUUUAGGGUUUUCUAAUCUCGAAAGAAAUCAAGAUCCUCCUUCCUCCCUCUCUCGAUUUCGAUCUCUUUCGUGUUGAUUUCGAAUUCGUUCGUCAAUAGGUUUGUUUCUCUCUAGCUCCGAUCGAUCUCGCUAGCAAAUUAGGGUUUCGAGCGAGCUUAAUCCGAUCGGUUUCUGGAUCAGUUGAGAUGCGAUCGGAAUCUCUCUGAAUAAGAGAGACUCGUGUGGGGGGUUUCUUCCUUUGUAUGGAAACUCGGAGCCGCAAGCGUGCGGAGGCGACCUCAACUGCCCCAUCUUCUUCUUCUUCCUCUCCUCCUCCUCCUCCUUCCUCAGGUCCCACCACUCGCAGCAAACGCGCUCGCCUCUCGUCUCCCUCUUCAUCUUCAGCCGCCGCUACUGCACCUUCCUCCUCCACCCGCUCUCGUUCUUCUCGCUCUACCACCGCUACAGUCGCCGUUACUCCCAUGGACACAUCCACCGAGUCUUCUGGAUUCCACCGCGGCGGAGGACGAGGUAACAGGGGAAACGAUAAUACUAACUCUGAUAAGGGAAAAGAGAAGGAGCAUGAGGUUAGGAUUAGGGAUAGAGAAAGAGACAGAGCUAGGCAACAGCUCAACAUGGACGCUGCAGCUGCUGCUGCCGCCGCCGCUGACGAGGACGACGACAAUGAUAGUGAGGAUGGCAACGGGGGAUUCAUGCAUCCCAACAUGAGCUCAGCCAGCAGUGCGUUACAAGGGUUGCUGAGGAAGCUUGGAGCUGGACUUGAUGACUUGCUUCCUUCUUCAGGUAUUGGCUCAGGUUCGUCUUCUCACUUGAAUGGGAGGAUGAAGAAGGUACUCGCUGGCUUGCGCUCUGAAGGAGAAGAGGGAAAGCAGGUCGAGGCUUUGACGCAGCUGUGCGAGAUGUUAUCUAUUGGGACCGAAGACUCCCUGAGCACCUUCUCUGUUGAUUCCUUCGUCCCGGUUCUUGUUGGUCUACUUAACCAUGAGAGCAAUCCGGAUAUUAUGCUUCUUGCUGCCAGGGCUCUUACUCAUCUGUGUGAUGUUUUGCCGUCUUCUUGUGCUGCUGUUGUUCAUUACGGGGCUGUUUCGUGCUUUGUCGCCAGAUUGUUGACAAUAGAAUACAUGGACUUGGCCGAGCAGGUUCGAUUUCCUAACAAUUCUUGAAUUUUUUUGCUGAAUAUAUAUUGUGGAAUGUUUUAUGCUGCAGUUUCUACACGUACAUAUCCAAUAUUUUAGUUUACUUAGGACGAAAUUUGAAAUUUGAUUUUAUUCUUCAUGUGAUUUACAACAGUCUCUGCAAGCUCUCAAAAAGAUAUCUCAGGAACACCCAACGGCCUGUUUGCGUGCUGGUGCUCUUAUGGCAGUGCUAUCAUAUCUGGAUUUCUUCUCCACCGGUGUCCAGGUGGGUAAUUUUGUAACUUUUCUUUAAUGCUUUCCAUACUCGUUUAUCUAAUGCACUUUUUUUUUUACUUUUUGUAGCGUGUAGCAGUAUCUACCGCUGCAAAUAUGUGCAAGAAGUUACCUUCUGAUGCAUCUGAUUAUGUUAUGGAAGCUGUACCGGUACUGACAAACCUACUUCAGUAUCAUGAUGCGAAGGUAAACGAUCCCUUUUUUUUUGCUAUAAUGUGGUAUUAUCUAGUUCUGCUCUUGCCCCAGUUUCCUUCAUAGUAUGUUCGUACGGUGGCAGGUUUUGGAAUAUGCUUCUAUCUGUUUGACUCGGAUUGCCGAAGCAUUUGCAUCGUCCCCUGAUAAAUUAGAUGAAUUAUGCAACCAUGGCCUGGUGACUCAAGCUGCGACUCUUAUAUCCGCUAGCAACUCGGGAGGUGGGCAAGCAUCUCUCGGUGUUUCAACAUACACGGUAUGAGUUAAUUCUUUUGUGUUUUCUAUAUUUCGUUAUUCAUAGGAUGACAUUUUCAUCAUAUUUUCACAGGGAUUAAUCCGAUUACUUUCCACCUGUGCGAGCGGUUCACCUCUUGGGUGCAGGACAUUACUUCUUCUCGGUAUUAGUAGCAUUCUUAAGGAUAUUCUGUCGGGUUCCGGUGUCUCUGCUAAUGCAUCUAUAUCCCCAGCACUGAGCAGGCCUGCAGAUCAGGUACGGAUUUACUUUUUGACAUCACAGACUUUAUUUUGUUCAAUUCCUGAUAAAGUCUAUUCAGUAAAAAGUGUUUUGUUUAGGGGACACACCUUUAAAUAGAUCAUCAACAUAAAUUGUGUGUUGAGUGAGAUGCUUAGGGGACACACCUUCAAAUAGAUCACUUGCAUUUAAAUGGAUCACUUGCAUUUAGGAGUUUUGUCUAUUCAGUUCAAUGAUAAUCUUUUUUUUUUUGUAACACUCAGCUCAAUGAUAAUCUAUGUACAUGUAUUUUGAGCUUUAUUUAUGUUGUAACCGAUGGCUCAACUUUCAUAUGCUUGUUUUCUGGUAUGGUGUUAGAAGUGGUAUAGAUAAAAGUGCUUAGCGCUUCAUCAGUGUGCUCGGUCUUGUUUAUUUAACUUUUUUUAUCCCAUGACUCGCUAAUUCUUGAAUAUAUUCUUGAACAUGAUCAUGUGAGGUCUUUUGUUUCCGAAUUAUAACUCUUGUUUUGCAUCUUAGAUUUUUGAGAUAGUCAACCUAGCGAACGAGCUCCUCCCUCCACUGCCAGAAGGAAGUAUCUCCCUUCCUACUAGCGCAAACGCGUUAGUGAAAGGUUCAGGCCAAAAAAAGUCUUCUCCAAGUACUUCAGGAAAACAAGAAGAUUCUCCCAAAGUUUCACCUAGAGAAAAAUUACUUAGUGAUCAACCCGAACUUCUGCAGCAAUUUGGAUUGGAUCUUCUUCCAGUUUUAGUGCAGGUAAUUUUUUGUUGCAGUUGCUACAAGUUAGUGUUCAUACAACCUCCUGUAUGUCUAAUUACCCUUGUUUUCUUUCCUACAGAUCUAUGGUUCUAGUGUCAAUGGUACUAUUCGUCAUAAAUGUCUCUCAGUUAUCGCAAAGUUGAUGUAUUUCAGCACUCCAGAAAUGAUUCAAUCUCUAAUUGGUGACACAAAUAUAUCGAGGUAUGCUGGUUAUGUUUUAAAUUAGGUAUCACAUGGCGCAACUUCUUACAUUAUUUUUCCUAUGUAGCUUCUUGGCUAGUGUCUUGGCAUGGAAAGAUCCACAAGUCUUGGUUCCUGCUCUACAAGUUGCAGAAAUUCUGAUGGAAAAACUUCCUGAAACUUUCUCGAAAGUGUUUGUGAGGGAAGGGGUGGUUCAUGCUGUAGAUCAACUUGUCUUGGUUGGUAAACCUAGUUCUCAUGCUUCUACUGAUCAGGAAAAUGACUGUGUGCCUGGAUCUGCACGAUCUAGGCGUUAUAGACGGCGAAGUAGUAACGCCAAUUCUGAUGGAAAUCAGUCGGAAGAGCUUAAGAAUUCUGUGUCAGCUAGUAUAGGUGCAAACCAUAAUUCCAUGGAAUCUCCUACAGCGAGCUUCAUGCUAAGGGAAACAGUUAGCUCCUGUGCAAAAGCAUUCAAAGACAAGCACUUCCCGUCUGAUGGUGGGGAAUUUGAUGUUGGAGUUACAGAUGAUCUCUUGCAUCUGAAGAAUCUUUGCACGAAGCUAACUGCUGGUACAAAUGAUCAUAAAGUGAAAGGAAAGGGGAAAUCUAAAGCCUCUGGGCCAUGCCUCGGCGAUUUUUCUGCUAGCAAAGAAGAAUACUUGAUUGGUAUCAUCUCCGAGAUACUUGGCGAGCUAAGCAAAGGAGAUGGUGUCUCAACUUUUGAGUUUAUUGGCAGUGGUGUGGUAGCAGCAUUGCUUAACUAUUUUUCUUAUGGAUACUUUUCCAAAGAGAAGAUCUCCGAGGUUGAUUUGCCCAAACUUCGCCAGGAUGGGCUCAGAAGGUUCACAGCUUUUCUAGAAAUUGCACUUCCUUCUGAUGGUAAUGAGGGAAAGAUCCCUCCUAUGACUGUUUUGAUUCAGAAACUUCAAGAUGCUUUGUCUUCACUGGAACGCUUUCCGGUCGUCCUUAGCCAUCCCUCAAAGUCACUCAGUGGAAGUGCUCGUCUCUCAUCUGGAUUGAGUGCUUUGGCACAUCCUUUGAAGUUGCGGUUAUGCCGUGCACCUGGAGAGAAGGCACUACGUGAUUACUCCUCCAAUAUUGUUCUCAUAGAUCCUUUGGCAAGCAUAGCAGCAGUGGAGGAAUUUCUCUGGCCCCGAGUUCAACGCAGUGAAUCUGGGGUGAAGCCAGCAGCGCCUGUUGGAAACACUGAGCCAGGCACAUUACCUAGCGGUGCUGGUGUUUCAUCACCAUCCUCGUCAACUCCAGCUUCCACCACUCGUCAUUCUUCUAGAUCUAGAUCUGCAAUUAAAAUAGGCGAUGCCUCAAAGAAAGAACCUGUGCACGAGAAAGGUACCAGCUCAUCUAAAGGUAAAGGUGUUAUGAAGCCGGCUCAGCCGGAUAAGGGGCCUCAGACAAGGAGCAGUGCUCAAAGGAAAGCUGUUCUUGACAAAGAUACACUAAUGAAACCAGCUAGCGGAGACUCCAGCUCUGAGGUAUGUCACUGUAGAAAGUUCUGGAUUACAUGGUUGUUUAUUGUGUAACAUUAUAUUAUGUUUGUGGUGUGAUCUGCUUAUGCAGCACUAUCGUACUUAUAUUGCUUGCAGGACGAAGAAAUGGAUAUAUCCCCCGUCGACAUGGAUGAUGCUUUGGUUAUUGAAGAGGAAGACAUUUCUGACGACGAUGAGGAUGAUGAUGAUGAGGAUGUAAGUAUUCCCUCCCCAGUAUGUACAUUACAGACGCAAUUAUUUCUCUUGCUAACAACAUGAAAGAUGAUACUUUUCGCAAUAAUGCUUGCUAGCUUUCCGUAUUCUUAGAUAAGUUUACCAUAUUGAGCUCACCUUAUUUGGCACCUUUCCUUUUAGAACUGACUAAAGAGAAUAAUGAACUUUAUACCACAAUUUCUCAUAUUGAUCUGGUCUUGAAUUCAGGUCUUGGAUGACAAUCUUCCCAUGUGCACCCCUGAUAAGGUUCAUGAUGUAAAAUUGGGAGACGCAGUGGAUGAUGAGGGAGCCGGUCUAGCACCUAGCGGCCGACAGAUGAAUUCAGCUUUGGCAGGAAGUAGUGGAACAGCAACUGCAAGGGGAUCUAAUUCUACUGAUGCUGGCAUUGGGAAUCUUUAUGGUUCUAGGGGUGCACUCUCCUUCGCUGCUGCGGCGAUGGCAGGGCUUGGAGCUGCCAGUGGUAGAGGUAUCAGGGGAAGUAGAGACCUACAUGGGCGUACCCUGAAUCGAAGUUCUGAUGAGUCCUCUAAGUUGAUGUUUACUGCGGGAGGAAAGCAACUUAGUAGGCAUAUGACGAUAUAUCAGGCUGUGCAACGACAACUUAUGCUAGACGAAGAUGAUGAUGACAGGCUCGGUGGCAGCGAUUUCAUCUCCAGUGAUGGAAGCAGAUUAAAUGAUAUAUAUACUAUCAUGUACCAGAUGCCGGACAGCCAAGCGAAUAGGUUGUCUGCUGGUGGUGCAAGUUCUACCACACCAUCUAAAUCCACCAAAUCUGCUACUACUAAUGCAAGCGUAGAAGCUCAGUCGUAUAGGGCAUCUCUUUUGGAUAGUAUCGUACAAGGAAAGCUUCCAUGCGACCUUGAGAAGUCCAAUUCUACGUAUAAUGUUCUGGCGUUGUUACGUGUAUUAGAGGGUUUAAAUCAGCUUGGCCCUCGCUUAAGAGCCCAAACCGUUUCUGAUCGUUUUGCAGAGGGUAAAAUUACAAGUCUGGAUGAUCUGAAUACAACUGCUGCAAAGGUUUCUCAUGAAGAAUUCAUCAACAGCAAACUUACACCCAAAUUAGCUCGACAGAUCCAGGACGCGCUUGCUUUGUGCAGUGGAAGUCUUCCCUCUUGGUGCUACCAGUUGACUACAGCAUGCCCGUUUUUGUUUCCGUUUCAGACCCGGAGACAGUAUUUCUAUUCAACUGCCUUUGGGUUGUCGCGUGCAUUGAACCGCUUGCAGCAGCAGCAAGGUGCUGACGGCAGUGGUUCUACAAAUGAACGAGAGAUGAGAAUAGGGAGAUUGCAGCGCCAGAAAGUGCGUGUAUCCCGAAAUAGAAUAUUAGAUUCUGCUGCGAAAGUUAUGGAGAUGUAUUCUAGCCAAAAAGCUGUGCUUGAAGUAGAAUAUUUUGGUGAAGUUGGUACUGGUCUAGGCCCGACACUUGAGUUUUACACACUCCUAAGCCAUGAUUUGCAAAAGGUUUCCCUUGGGAUGUGGAGAUCAAAUUCUGGUGACAAGUUAUCUAUGCAAACUGAUAGAGAUGAGAUUCAAGACGGUAAAUCAGCAGCAGCUAGGGACAGAGAUAUAGUUCAGGCACCACUUGGGUUGUUCCCUCGGCCCUGGCCCUCAACUGCUGACGUAUCUGAAGGUAGUCGGUUUCAUAAAGUUGUUGAAUAUUUCCGCCUUUUAGGGCGCGUGAUGGCAAAGGCACUUCAAGAUGGACGGCUAAUGGACGUCCCGUUAAGUACAGCUUUUUAUAAGCUCAUUCUUGGUCAAGUGAGUUUUUUACUAUCAGUAACUUUUUUUAUUUAGCUAAGAGUGGACUAGUAGUUUCGACUUCUUUACGUUGUUCGUAAUUUCUUACUGCUUCUUUACUCACCUGAACAGGAGCUUGAUUUGCAUGAUGUUAUAUUAUUUGAUGCUGAACUUGGCAAGACUUUGCAAGAGCUUCGUGUUCUUGUUGGCCGUAAGCACUAUCUGGAAGCAGGCGGUGGUGACAACAGUAGCGGGAUUUCUGAUUUAUGUUUGCGUGGAUCCCGUAUUGAAGAUCUUUGCUUGGACUUCACCCUACCUGGCUACCCUGAAUACAUAUUGAGACCAGGAGAUGACAUUGUACCGUCUAAUAAGCUUUACAUCCGAUAUCUUACUAUUGUUUUAGUUCUUGUCCAUUGUUGCUGAUGCCGUGUACUGUUUUCUGUUCUAUUACAGGUUGAUAUUAAUAGUCUUGAGGACUAUAUAUCCCUGGUCGUUGAUGCCACUGUCAAGAGAGGAGUUGCCCGGCAGAUUGAAGCCUUCAGAUCUGGAUUCAAUCAGGUUAGCAGUUUCACAGACUCUCCGCUUUGUCUCUUACUUUUCCUGUAGGCUUUGGCUUUGGCUUUGGCUUUGGCUUCUAAAUUACAUAGGAGUGGUUUCUUUUGGUUCAUACUUUAUAAUCUUUUAAACAACAGGUUGAUGAUAAUUUAGUCUUACCUUUAUUAUCUUUACAAGAAUUCUCUGUUCUUACACAUGAUUACCAGGUCUUUGACAUAAAAUCUCUACAAAUAUUCACCCCUUCUGAGCUGGACUACUUGUUGUGUGGUCGUAGAGAGUUGUGGGAGGUGAGUUUUCAUCUAUUUUUUGAAUUUCCACUACCCAUUUGACUCGAAUCGACUAGAUAAAAUUUUCUUUUCUAAAACCUUUCUUUUAUUGCAGGCGGAGACUCUUGUUGAACAUAUCAAGUUUGAUCACGGUUAUACUGCAAAAAGUCCGGCAAUCAUUUUCGUAAGUUACUUUCCGUACUAGUUUGUUAAAAAACCAAUUUUCUUUUACAAUCAAGCUUUUUGCUUCUUUAUUGUUGAUUCCUUUUUGACUUUGAUUUUCACCCUGGCGGUAGUUAUUGGAGAUCAUGGGAGAGCUAACAGCAGAUCAACAGCGGGCUUUCUGCCAGUUCGUAACUGGAGCUCCUAGGCUUCCUCCUGGUGGCUUAGCUGUUCUCAACCCAAGGCUGACGAUUGUGAGAAAGGUAAGAAACCUUUACUUAUAUAUUCGGUUAAAAAGCGUUUUUGUAAUUGAGCCAAGAGGUUCUAGUCAUGUUAAACUAGACCCACCAAGCCAUAUAUCAGAAUACAUCUACACGUGACGCAUUGUUGUGUUUGCAAGACUUGCUAAGAUGAAUUAGCUCUUACUCGAUUUAAGUUGUGUAUUUGCUUCCAAUUGAUGUGUUUUUGGCUUGAUGCAGCUCUCAUCAACCUCAAAUGCUGCUGCCAAUGGGACAGGGGCUUCGGAAACAGCAGACGACGAUCUUCCCAGCGUCAUGACUUGCGCCAACUACCUUAAGCUCCCUCCUUAUUCUACAAAGGUAACUCGUCUCUCUUUUUUUAAGUCUACGGUUUCUGUGUUUGGUUGGUUGGGGUGAGCCUGAACACGAGUUUGUACCUGAAACAGGAAAUCAUGUACAAGAAACUGCUCUACGCCAUCAACGAAGGGCAGGGGUCGUUCGACCUAUCCUAGGCAUCUCUCUCUGUUGUGGCUGCGGCUAGAAACCACCAACCCUCUCUCUUCUUUGUACAUUUUAUAUCGGAAGACUCUGAUUUUGCACUUUGAAUGUUAUUUCUGUUAAACCAUGAAUUAUUAAAAUUAGGUUCAAUAUUUUUCAUGUGCAAGUAACAUAUUAAUACAUGGAGGAUAAAAAUAAAAUCAAAAGACAAACUUGAAUAAUUUUGGUUGCCUUUAAAAUUCGUUUGAAAAUUCCGAAGCAAUUAUAUAUAGUGUGAAUAAAAGUCGUCAGCUGAAGGAAUAAAGGUACAAAGGUACAAAGGUUUAGGUGUUGUAUGAUCCAAAAUUCUGUUUUUUUUUAAAGACGGGCUCUAUCAGUCACAGCAGUUGACUGUAAGAUAUCAAAGGAAUAAGAAACAGUUGUUCGUUUGUAGUUUUCUGGAGAUUGAACAAGAGAACUCGUCUUCGUUUCAUCAGUUUUCUUUUUGAUAAAAGUCAAUUCGACAUAGAUAUCUCUAGACACGAGAAACAAAAGCAUAAAUAGGAAAACAUUACAAUUAUAAAAGAGCGUUACGAGUACAGAGUCCAAACUAGGCACAAGAAACCUACCAUAUGGUGGUAUUAAUAUACAAAAACAAAAACAACACACCAAUACAUUAAAAAACAGCUGAAAGGGUCCACGCAUGCAGCUAGAAUGACAAAUCACAUGACCACGCAAGCAGCUGGAUUCUCAUCGCUAAAGGCAGUAGUGUAGCGGACCUCAGUGGAGCUAGCACGAGCCAGCUGCGAAACUCCAGGGUCAUCCGCUCUUCUCACAUAACCCGAGGGUGCUUUCUUGUCGUAGACUCCGGAGGCGUAAGGAUGAGCCACGACGUCAUAGGGCACGUAGGGCCAGAGCUCGACCUUCUUGCCGGUCCUGUGAGCCAUACGGGACACCACCUUGUUGGGUUCGACGUAGCCAACAACAGUGACUUUGUGGGCUUUGGGCUCCAGCGACACAGAUGAGACACCCUUCAUGCCUUCCACCGACCGCCGCACUUUGCGCUCGCAGCCUUCGCAGUCCAUCUUCACUUUGAUCUCCACCGUCUAUUAAUUUAUGAUGUUAAGAAAACGACAAACAGAAAAACGUUAAGUGAUACUAUUACUUAAAAAAAAUAUCUAAGCAAAAUAGUACUACUAGUAGUAAACGUCUCUGAGAUAAUCAUAUCAUGACUGGUGAGAGUUAGUUCACGUGAUUAUGAUUGUUUUCUUUUUUAAAGAAAAAUAAAUAAUCAUAGAUUCCGACAGAGAAGAUAAUUAUACUAAUAAAGUACAACUAAUCCCGGUGUAAAUCUAACAGAUGGAUGGAGCUUGUGUUCCAGAGUAAAACGAAUCUAUUUGGUCGGCGUUAAUAACAUUAAUUCAAAGAUUCAAACACACACAAAAAACCUUCAAAUAAAAUCAACAAAAUUCUAUUUUCAUGAUUGUAAUUGUGUAAACUAUAUUAAGAAAAUGAAAGAAGAAAGAGAAAAAAUCAAAUUCAGAAACAAUAUUUUUCCACCAACUAUCUGAGUUUUCUGUUCUAAGUAAUUAAGAAGCAAGAGAUAUAAAAAAAUUUGAAAAGCAUAGUUAAGAUAACUGCUCCUUAAUUGUAUAUUUAUGGAACCUAAUCAACGAGAUCUACGAAAGAAAACAGUCCACAUCUCACUCAAAACUUUCCUUCUCAUCGAACUUAGCAGAGUCGUCACUUUCCCAAAUAAUCUUCUUUUUGUUUUUUUUUUCAAAAAUCAAGAUCUAAAAUUAGAACACGAAAGAAGGUGGUGGGGGUUACCUGCAACUGUCUGCGCUUUUUAAUCUUGUGACCAUGAGAGCAAUCAAACAUUUCAGAGACAUGAUCAAGAACACCCAUUUUCACUUUUAACACUAGAAAGAACCUGAGAGAUCUAUCGAAGGAAGAAUUUUUAAAAAGGUAACCUCUAGGAGUAGGAGAAGAGAGAGUAUAAAUGAGUUGCACAGAGCACAGUGAUAUCAGAGGCAAAGGGAAAGUUGAUAGGAAGUAAAUAUGAUAGAAAUGAUAAUUUAAAUAGGGGAGAAAGAGGAUACAAAGACAAUAAAAUAGUAGUCCGUAAAUAUCAAUUCAAAGUUAAAACUAAUUAUUUAUUUAAUUCAAAAGUUAAUAAUUAAAUGGAUGAUGGCUCACCAUUCCUCUCUUGUCCCACCACCAGUUUCAUAGUCGACCUCUCUAAAUCUUCUCUCACAUUUUUACCAAAAAAAAAUCUUAUCUUCAUUAAUUUUUUUUGAAUAUAUAUAUAUAUAUACAUUUUUUUUUAAUUACCUGAUUUCAGUUUAGUAUUCUGAGUGUUCGGUUUGGCUAGAGUUGGAUUAAUGUAAUAAAAAGGAGAAAAAUAAAAAGUUAUACCAUAGUUUGAAGAAGAAUAUAAAAAUUUUACAAUAAAAAAAACUUGUGUCAAGUCCUAUAUGACUGAUCUUGGGAUGGAGACAGACAGACAAGAACGGUGCGUUAGAUUCACUGCUGCUUUUUAUAUACAGCAUAUUUUUUUUAAAAGUAAUAAUUAAUUUUGAUGGUAUGGGAAACAGAAGAGCUAUUGCUUUUGGAUAAUCGAUGACUCGCAAGUCUCACCGACGUGCCGACUCCUUUCUUUAUUUGUCUCAUUCGAAGUUUGGGCCUCUGUUGGAUCCUUAUGAGGCCUACCAUUUUUUACCAUUUGUUUAUCGGUCUCUCUGACCCAUGAGAUUCAUUUAUCCAAAAUUCAAGAAACGUUCAUGGUCAACGUCACUUUCAAAUCUUCUUAGGGUCUUGUUCAAACGCAUCGAUUAUAGUUACGUACGGUUAAGAAAGUUUACGGAUGCGAAUGAUUACAAUUUUUAAUAGAUUUAAGAGAUUUAUACCACUGAUAUUACGGUUAAUUACCAAAUACAACAGCGGUUAGAAUAUAUAAAUUUUUUUAUUUUAAAAUUUUAUAAUUUUAAUUAAAAUAUAAUAGAUAUAUUUUAGCAUUUUAUAAUUCUAAUUUUAAAGUUUUAUUGAAUAUUUUAAUUUUUAUAUUUAUAUUGUUUAUAAAAAAUCGAUUAUCUUUCCGCAACCAUAAACACUAGUUGUAACUAACUUUUGAAUUUAAGAGGUUUAAAGCCGUUUGAAGUGGUUCACGACGGUUUGAGUGAUUGUUGCAAAACGCCAACAACCGGUACUAACCGCAAAAACUGCGUUUGCGGAUGACAGCGGAAAAACCAGUCAUGUCCUCAGACGUUUGGUAAGUUGUACUUGCUACCGAGUAUUUCGUAAUCGAUCAACCGUGUAUGUGUAAACAAACUAUAUGAAAGGCUUAACCAGUAACUUUGCAGUGGGGAAAAUAAGCGAGAAUAUUAAUUUUGGGUGAAGAGUGUAAUAAGGAAAACAAACAAGGGGACAAAAAUAUUUAACAAUUCGAAAUCGUUGGAUUGCUUCGGGGAAGAGAAGAAGCGAAGAACCUGAUUCGAUUUUUUUAAAAAAAUAACUCUGCUGGGCACACUCUUCCGUUAUUACUUCUACAGUCCUUAUUCUAAUCAAACCUGGUGGGUGAGCUUGAAAUUGCUUUAUUUUUCAAUCUUCCAACUUGAUUAAAAUCUCCGUCUUGAGAAUCGAUUCGACCUAUACUGCUAAGUGUGUUUACGUAUCUAAGCAUUUCCCUUGUUGGGUUCUCAUAAAGUUUGCUCCUUUACCACUUAUCUUCGUGUUCAUUGCUCAGGUGUUGUUAUCUGAUGGCUAGUAAUAAGCAGAGACCGGCCAAGCUCUCCGUCUACCUUUACAUUCCCAAUAUCGUUGGUGCGUCCCCUUAGUCUUUUUUUUUCUAUAUGUUUUAAAGAUGACAUCUUUUUUUAAGGAUGAAAAUGAAAAAUAUUGGGGGGGGGCAGGGUACAUGAGAGUUGUAUUGAAUUGCAUUGCCUUUGCUGUGUGCUUCUCCAACAAGACUCUCUUCUCCCUCUUGUACUUUUUCAGGUCCACUCUCAUCUUCUUCUCUGCGCUCUUUUGUGUUUAAAAUAGUAUCCUUUGAUCUGAUGCGCUUUUACAGUUUCUGUUGUGAUGCUGUUGAUGGAUGGUGCGCUCGUAAAUUCAACCAAGGUCUCAUUUUCCAGCUCCGACCAAAUUUUAUAUUUGUUUAUGGUUUGCUCUUAAGAUCCUGACAUUGAUCAAGAGUCUGGCUCGAUCGAUGUUACUAGUUUUGAGUUUCAUCUAGUCGGAUAUUCUAAUUGAACAGCAUUUUUGGAGCUUCAUUUAGUUGUUCUGUAGUGUCAAGAUCUUGAUAGUGACACACGUAUCUUGUCCUUUCAGUUUCUACAUUUGGAGCUGUUCUUGACAUGGUCACAGACAGGUUAAUCUUCUUCUACAUAUAUAACCCGGUAUAUUCAACUUACUUUCUCUCGUGUAAUAACAAUCUAUCUAUUAUCCUCGUUUUGCUUACAGAGUCAGCACAGCGUGUCUUCUCGUGAUUCUCUCCCAAAUAUACAGGUGGGAGUGUUCUCUUGAUGGAUUUUGGCUGUUUUUUAUAUUUAAACAUAGCCUUGAGCUUACACACUACUAUAACACAGGCCUAGCUUGGUUUUCCUCUCACUCCUGGCCUUAGAUAUUGCUAGUCACUGGCUCCAAAUGUACAGGUACUCUUUGUUCUCUUCAUUCAACUUCUACAUUUGUAUACGCUAAGCCAGAAAAUAAUAAUACUGGAGUCACAGUACAUUUCUAUCAGGGAAGACCAGCCAUAAGGAUGUGAAAGAUAGCACGAGCUGGCUGUUUAGACUAUACUAUGGUAACCGUUUGUUCAUGGGUUAUUGCUGUGUUUCCUGCGAGGUUCUUUACAUAAUCCUCUUUCUCAUAGCAGAGAACCAUACUGAAAAUCUGAUGAACGUGAGCUUCUCCUCUCUUCUCUUCUCUUCCCCUUUUAAUCUCUAUUAGCUAGUCUUUUGUUCUAAAAUAUCUCUGGGUUCCAUUCUUCAGGUAGUAGUUGAAUCAUUGACACAGUUUUCACCGCUCUCUUUACUCUUGGCUUUGAGUAUAUUUGGUUGGUCGAUCAAGCAGAUCAUCAAUGUGAUUCAGGUAUAUAAAGCUGAUCCACAACUAAUCAGAUUCCCUCCAACUCCAAGAUGGUAUUAAGCAGUUUCUGGUUCUUAUUGUCUUUUUUGUUGUUGUUUCUUUGGUGACGUGUCAGAUGAAAACGGCUGCAGAUGUUUGUGUCUUGUAUGACAUAGAGAAGCAGCAUAAGCCCUGAGGUUUUGUGCUCUUUGAAUCGUCUUUGUUUCUUUUAACCUCGUGUGUAUUACACUGUGUACAUAUAUGGAUGCAUCUUGCUUAAUGGUGGAUGUAGAUUAUACCCUUUGUCUUGCCUUUGUUUUCUAUAAUAUGAAAGACCCUUUUAACUAUUUUAGCAGAUGCAUUUAAUGUAGUGUUUAUGUUUUCAAUAAAUAAUCGCCAAAAACAAGACAAUGAUUGAUCAGAAGAGCUUCUCCAACACAGAUUCUCCAUCAAACUUGUCCACCUUGGAGCUAAGAAACGCCAACCUUUUCUCCAACCCUGCUCUCUUCAUCUCCAAAUCUCCCAAACGCCCUGCCGUCUCCAUCAACCCUUGACGGAAACUCUUCACCUCAUUCUCCUUCCAUCUCACCUCUUUCAGUAUCUUCUCCAUCUCUUGUCUCCCAAGCAAAGCCUCCCUCUCACACAUCCCUUUCUCCACCGCCGUCUUGUUAUGUCGAUCAUAGCAUCUGGCCGCUUCAAGAAUCUCGUUUAAAGCCUCCCUUAGCCAACCGGCUCUGAUUUUGACAGACUCCACGUCUUCAACGACCGCUAGCAUUUCCAAGAUGUGAGUCUCCUUUAGUUGCUUCAGAGGCGUUGAUUGGAGUUGGUUAACCACUGAGGCUAGUGUUUCUAGAAAGUAAGAUCUCGUGGGAAGCGACUCGAGCUUUGAACCGGAGGCUAUGUCUCCAUGCUUGUCCAAGAUUUGCUGCAGAGUGUCCGAGACGCUCGCUCUGACCUUAUAGCUCCCUACAGAGACGUACGACUCAGACAUCUUUGACUGCGUUUCCUCCCCUGCUAAGCUCUUGCAUUCGAUAAAGGAUGUUGGUUGAGUUUGGGGGAUCCUUGACCCUGGUCUUGAGUUUCUUGCCCUGUAUUCUUCAGCCUUUGGCCUAGUUUCUGGCGUCUCAGGUGACGACUUGAGGAGGCCAGUACUAUGCGAUAUCGGCUGAGUUUGUGGGAUCCUAGGUUCAAGGUACUUUCCUUGAGGCUCUGGAGUCUUAGACCGCUGUCUUGAGGAUCUCUCCCUGUGUUCUGGUGACCUCGCUCUACGUUCUGCAGUCUUUGGCCUAGGUCCCAGAGAAACACGCGCAUGUUCAGGUGUCCUUGGUCCAUUAUCAUUGAUGUUGGACCGGUGUUCAGGCGUUCUAGGUCUAUUUUCUAGUGCAGUGCUAUUAUCAGUGGUGCUAGACCUUCGCUCAGGUGUCCUAGGCCUAGAAUCAGGGGUGCAAGGCAUGUGCUGAUGUGUCCUAAGAGGAUGCUCAGGUGCUUUAGGCCUAGUCCUAGGUGUCAUUUCAUUGUCUAGACCAUUAUGAAUGAGCGCACGGUGAUCAAACUGCAGAGAGAAAACAUGAGACUCUCACCAAAAAAUGUAUGCAGUAAAAAAAAGCAAGAGAAUAAAUGCUUACAUUUGAUGCGAAAGAAUCUUUCUUCCAAUACACAGAUAGAGAAGGUGACAUUGGGAGCCAAUUUAUGACUGAUUCAGGUUUGUUUCCAUGUAGAGGAGAAGGCGGCCUGGACAGAAGGUUUGCGUUGAAGGUGUCAUCAGAGGAUGAGAAUGAGGGAGACUCAUCUGAUUCAACCAUCCUCUUAGCGUAAUAGCUAGGAAGUGGCCAUCUAUUUUCCGCAACAACACGAACCGGACUGAUAGGAGGACUGUCCUUUCUCCAAGCUGGCUUACCAAAGCCUUGUACAAAAGACAAGUUACAAAGAUUCUUUCUAUUAAUCAAAAAUAUCAGCAGCAAAAAUGUUUGAAAAUGCAAUCAAGAUGAUAAACUUGCUUCUUACCAAACGGCUUCUUCUCCUUCUUGGGGACAUCUCGAGAGUUGAUCCUCUCCAAACAUCGAUAAUUGCACUCAUGGUAGGGAUUGCCUGCGUUGGGACAAUCAUGAUAUACUUUUCCAGACAUGUUACUUCUUUCUCUCACAGAUCUAACAAAGAAAGCCUGUGGCCUCAACCAGAGCAAGCAAAAAAGAAGAGAAAUUCUUUAUAAAAUUGAAUCUUUCAUCAAAACAUGACAAGAAGCAAACAAGUUUUAUCACCAAAAGACGGAGUCAACGUUUGAGAGAAAAGAGGUGUAUGGAAUGAAUAGUUCUUUAGAAGACAAGACACGGGACUGAACUUGGAAGGAUUCACCAAAAAAUGAUCAAAUUUCAAAGUAAAGCGGACCUGAACGGUUGAUGUUUUUUUGUUUUCUUGCAGUGCAAGAGUACAAAAAACUAGUGCUUAUUUUCUUCCCCACAGAGACUAUAACUGCUUACAAGAUUGACCCAACAACACAAGUUGUGGUCUUGAAUCAGUGAGAGAAUAAAGCCGACAUAAACACAUUCUACUUCGACGGUGUUGGACUCUGUACAAAUCCUUGUAUUUAAAAAAUAAAUAAAAGGUCACUGGUGUGGUGUGUAAUGAAAUCACAUAAACAAAAUAUUCAAUUAAGAUCCGUUGGUGGGCCAGUAUCAUAGCUUCACGGGCCUUGAACCCAAAACAAGCAUAUAUAUGGGCCCAUAUAUAUUCAUAUUCAAACAGAUGUAAAAAAAGUGUAUUAAACGUGGAGAAGGACGACUUCUCCUUGAAACUUAUCGACUUUGGAGUGAAACAUGUCGAGAUUCUUGCUCAACCUCGAUCCCUUCAUCUCUAACUGCCCCAGCUUUCCCGCCACCGCCGUCACCCUCUCUCUGCACUCCCUGAUCUCCUUCUCCCUCUUCCCCAGCUCCUCCCUCAUCUCCUCCAUCUCCCCCUUCCUCGCCUUCAUAUCCCUCUCGCACGCCUCCCUCUCCGCCUUCGCCGCCUCGUACUCCCCCGCGCACUCCACCGCCUCCCCCAGCUCCGCCACCGCCUUCUUCAGCCACGUCACCUCGAUCUUCACCGACUCCAUGUCCUUCACCACCGCCGCCAUCUCCGCCACUCUCGUCUUCGUCAGAUCCUUCAGUCCAGACGUCCUCAGCUCCAUCACCACGGCGGCUAGGGAUUCGAGGUAGUAGGACCUCGUCACGUUGGACUGGAGCUUCGAGGAGGCGGCGAUGUCCCCGUGCUUGGAGAUGAUCGCCUGGAGCGUUUCCGCCACGCUCGACUUCACUCUGUAGUUGGCCACGGAUACGUAGGACUCGGAGAUCAUCGAUUGGCUCUCUUCCUUGAGUCCUCGCAUUUUGGCGAUCUCCUGGAUCGAGAAGCUCUGUGACUCGUCCGCUAGCUCCGGUGGCUCGUACUGCUUCUCUUGCUCGUAGGUUUCCGCCGCAAUGAUUUGGUAGUUGUGGUGAACAGGCUGCAUAUGUUUAUUUAUUAAGGUCCAUAAGAUCAUAGAAACAAUGGUGAAAGAGAGAGAGAGAGAGAGAGAGAGAGAGAGAGAGAGAGAGAGAUUCAUACAGUGGUGUUGGCGGAGACUGGGAUGGAACGAGUUGGGGUGCCAAUUUCUGGGAAGAGGUAGGUGGAGUGGUUAUCAUCAUCACUGGAUGAAUAGUAUGCUCCUCCAUGAAGUGGACUCCGAGGAGGGCUGUCCUGCCGCAUAACGUAGCCAUCUGGCUCAUACAUUGCUUCCAUUUGCUCAUCAUUAUGAUUGUUGCUGCGACGGUCAGGCUGCGAUUUAUUUAAGAGAGCUGAUUAUUUAUUGUCAAGAAUAUGUUUUAUCACUAGAGAGAAGCUCAGGGCUUGAGAAUGUUGUUGAGUACCGUUCUGUAUUGUUGUGGUGGUGGCGAACGGGUCGCAGCUGGAUGAAAUGGGCUUGGUGGAGAGCUGUUUCGUGGUGUUACUUCGCCGUCUCGCUCAUACACUUCCUCGGAUUGCUGAUUGUCAGGGUGGUUUCUACGACGAUCAGGCUGUUAGAAUUAGAAUAACGAACUUUAUUGUCAGGUUAAGUGAAUCACUUUAUCUGUUUCUGGAAAAUAAGGCUGAGUUUUAGAGUACCGUUCUGUAUGGUUGUGGUGGUGGUGGCGAACGUCUUGCGGCUGGAUGAAAGGGGCUCGGUGGAGAGCUGGUUCGUGGUGUUACUUCGCCGUCUUGCUCAUCAUCAGGGUGGUUUCCACGACGAUCAGGCUGCAGAAUUAGAAUAACCAACUUUAUUGUCAGUUUUAAGUGAAUCGCUUUAUCUGUCUCUGGAAAAUAAGGCUGAGUUUUAUGGUACCGUUCUGUAUGAUUGUGGUGGUGGUGAUCGGUUUGCUGCUGGAUGAAAAGGGCUUGGUGGAGAGCUGUUUCGAGGUGUUACAUCACCAUCUCGCUCGUACAGGUCUUCAGAUUGCUGACGAUCAGGCUGCAAUUAGAGAGAGACUUUUAUGUAAUGUCAUCUAUGCGGCUCGUUGUGUACUCAAGAAUGAGAAACAAGACUUACAGUUCUAUAUGGUGAUGGAGAGCGGUUUCCGGCUUGACGAAAUGGGCUCCCAGGAGCUCUGUUCUGAAACAUGUUAUUGGCCUCAGGCUCAUACAUUGCCUCGUAGUGGUCUGCAUCGUGUUCUCUGUGGCGAUCAGGCUGAAAUCAAACAUUAGAACCAAUGCUUAGUGGCUGAUUGGUAUGAACAUGGAUCAUAAUAAUCAACAGCGCUUUAGAUUUUGAGUACCGUGUGGUAUGGAGAUGGAGAAGGGCUUUUGAAUGGGUGAAAGGGGCUUGCAUUGCUUCGGGUAUCUGCCUCAUACGUUCGAUCCUGCUGUUCUCGGCUAUACUCGCUUGACUUUCUACGACGUUCAGGCUGCAAUAGAGGACAGUAUCAUGUCAGUAAUAAUAAGACCAUGUCCUUGAACCAUCAAAGACCGACUCUGUUAUUUUACUAUAUCUCUAAACAACACCAAUUCAAAGACGGUCAAAAGUACCGUGCGGUUUCCAGAGGGAUGAAAGGGGCUUGAAGGAGCGUUAGUCUCUGGCUCAUAACUCAUCCUCUCCUUUCUUUCUCUACGUUCAGGCUGCAAUAAGGGGAAAACUCAAUCUCAUCUACAGAUUCAAAAAUUUUGUUUGGCGGCUGAAACAGAUAAUAGGUGUUUAUGUAAUAGAGUACCGUGCCAUAUCCGUACACAGGAGGCCUGGGGUGGGAGUUGGGGACGCGUUCAGACGCCGGUUGUUUCGGGUAUGUUCUUUGUUCACGGGAGAUAGGGAAAUCAUACUCUGUCUCGGCUCUUUUGUUGGAGAGAUACGAUGGUGGCGGGGAUCUACCAGCGGCGGGAUGAGGAGGGGUCGCCGGAUUGCUCUUGCUCGCGCUUUUCUUCCCGAACAGUCCUGAAGAGACGUACCAAACAAAAUAAAACUGGUCAACGUUUGGAUUUAGCUUAGUCAACGGAAGUUAUCAACAUAAGAAGAUACUUCUUGUAAGAUAGGAUUUGAGAAAAUGAUCCUUGUCUGUAACCAGAUUUAAACAUUUCUGGCGACUUUUUCCGGUGGUAUUCAUAUCGGACAGAGUGCAAGUGUGAAGGGACUUUCCAGAGUUGGAAAAAUUACCUGAUCGUUUUCCAUCUUUCUUUGAACUGAAGAAGUCCAUAUUGCACAAGAUGGGGCUAAACUGGAUCGGUAAAUAAGUUGCCUGUAAAACCGGAAAAUCAGAUAACCAUUUAACUGGUUAUGUAUGUAAGUAUAUACACGCCCGCGUUCAUUACCUGGAAUUUUUGAAGCAGGGAGCUGGGUUGUGAGCUGUUGUUGCCGGAGAGAGAUGGCUUUUGGUUAGUUUCGUCUUUGCUACGUAUUACUUCAUAUGAUUUUAUAUAACGAGUCAGAGGAGCCUAUAAUGCUAAUUGAAAGUCUACCAUACUUAUUCAUCUGACUUUGACUAUUACAAACGGACAAGAUCGUAAUCAUUAUUUAAUUGCUUCCAUCUAAUCUUCUACCACUUGUUUUCUUUUCUUUGUUUCAAGUAGCCGCAGCCAUGAUUUACUUGGUCAAUGGUACUCUGGCUCUGAAAAAAAAUCUACUUUGAAUAUUUCUGACUACGUUAUGAUUGUUUUUUUCUGAUUAGUGAGCCUAUAGAUGGGCUCAUAAGUCAUAUGCAGUGCCCAAUAUAACCACCAAUCACGAAAUGGGCUAAAAUUAAAGGAAAUAAGACUAAAUCCUCUUUUUUAUCAACCAACCAGGAUUGAUAGGAAAAAUGUUCGGUUACAAACAAACCAGAAGGAUCAAGAUGGGAAAGCUAAUGCAGAUACAAGUGUCAUUCGGGAUAAAUGCAUCAGCACACGUUCGUUGAUUGUGUCUGUGGUGGUUUUGUCUUCAAGGGUGCUUCUCCUACUCGGCUACAAGGGCUUGGAGGAAAAUGUAUACAGGCCGUGUAGACUGUGGACAUAAUGUAUACGUUGGCAAGGACGUGAACUGUCUGAAGCGUCUCUAUGUGGUGAUUUCGUGGCAGGCCGUGUGGACAUAAUGAAUCCAGUUCAAUGGUACGAGCAUUUUCAGAGAAUAGCGAUGCAGUCAUGCAGAUCAUGUGAUCGAAGGAGGACCGCAGAGUUGCCUAGGAAGCGUUUAAAGAGAAUGUGAAUACUGAAUAGAGUUCACAUUGUGACAAAUAAUGACUUCUACGUAAAAGGUAAAAAAAAUAUCUCCACGCGCGCGAUGAUAACCAAUCCCACUCUCAUCAAAUGCGCACGAAGCUCGUUUAAGUCUGGAAGUCUAUAACCCACAGAUUUCAGCCCUUUUUGACAUAAUUUAUUAGAAAGGGAACGACCUGAAGCGCGUUGACUGCCGUUUGCAUAAUGCCCUGUGAAUAAUAAACUUUUUUAAUAUUCAAUAAUACGAAUAACUAUUUCGAUUUUCUUCAAAUCUCACUUUUUUUUUUUUCAAAUCUCACUUCAUCAACUUUUUAAUUAAUAAAUUUUAGAAAUGAUCUGCACGUUGCAUGGAUUGAACUUAAAUCAAAUUAUAACAAAUUACUAGAUUUUGACUCGCGCUUGAGAAACACGGAUAACUUUUUGGUAUUAAAAAAUAAUCAAGUUGCAUCAAUUUAGGAAAAAUAAUUAAGUUGCAUCAAUUUAGGAACAACCAAAAUAACUAACUAUAUAAUUAUAAAAAAUAACUUUACAUAAGAUUUAUUAAGUUUCUAAUGAAUAGGUCCAACAACUUUUUAUAAGUAGAUUUUUUUAAAAAUCCUUCCCUUUUAAUAGUAUAAAUUUUUAAUGUUUUUAAUUUAAUUUAAUUAUAAAUGUUUUAGCCAAAAUCAAUAUUUUUAGUUCAUUUAAAUCAAUAUACGCUAUUCAUAAAAAUUAUAAUAUUUGGUUAUGAUAUUUUAAAUUAUGUUUUAUCUUAACUCGAUUAAUAACUAACUAAUUUUUUUUUGAAUUACAAAGAGUUUUUAAGUUUUACAUUUCAUCUACUUAUGGCUAUUUAUAAUCAUUUCAUCUUCUAUAUUUACCUUGUGCUAAUAUUACUUAUCUAUGAUUUUUUAAAUUCUAUACUUACAUAUUCUAGUUUUCUGAGUAACUCCUAAGUUUUAAUUAAUAUAUUAAAAUUUCAAAAAAAAUCAAAGCAAAUUAAUUGUCACUUUAAUAUGAGUGAGGACAUUGGAAGAUGGUUGGAUAGUGAAGUUUGAUCCUGAAGUGAAAGGUUGAUUGAGAAUGGUAGGAUUUUGUGUGAUUGAUGGGAGCUAUCUUCUGCAAGUAGGCCUCCCCUCCUCUCCUCUCUAUUAUUAUAUUUUCCUAUUAACUAACUUUCCCUUUAUUAUCAUCAUUGUUAUAAUUUUUUCUCUUUAAAUGAUUUUUGUAUGCCAUAUAAGUUCACAUACACACCAUCGCACAGUGAUUCAAAAUCUCUUCACUGAAGUUAUGUUUUUGAAGAAUGAAAGGAUAGAAAUACAAAUAUACUUGUGCUCUCGUCCCGUUUGUUGGCUAGGAAUAGUUUGUUAUCCAUCUAGAUGCAAUGCAGCUACAUCAUAAAUUGGGUCUUCCAUUAAAACAUUGAUAUCAUGUAGCGAGCUCUUAGCUCACAUUAAAAUGUGUAUUUUUUGGAACAAUGACAAAUGGUCACAUAUGUAAGCUAGACUGUAGAACAAUGGCAGUUUAUAAAAUUAUCAUGGACUAUUCAUAUUUUAGAAACAAAUUCUAGUUUUCUUAGUAACAUUCAAAUAGUUUUGUUUACCUUUUUUAGCAGAAGUUUUAGUAGUUGCUUUUGUAUUAUUGAUGACUACAAAAGUACAAAUAACUAAAAAGAGUCGAUGGGGUUGGGAGAGAAUGGGCCAACUUGAGUGGUAACAUACAUUAGUAUAAAAUCAAAUAAAUGUUAGGUAAAGUGACAUAUCUCACUUUAUCCCAAUCAACUUCGUGUCUCAAAAAUUAUAUAACUUUUUUUAUUUUAAAUUUUGUUCAUUCUUCAAGCCCAAGUCUAUUUUCUAUUUAUAUUUUCUCAUGGUUCUUGGACCACCACUUUUAUGGGCAUUAGACGUUUGUAAAAGAAAACAAGAACAAUGAAAGAGUCAUGAAUAAAUAUACAUUACGAGUAAUUUAUAUAAAUAGUAAUAUUUACACUGACAUAAGUGUUUGAUUACAAAAUACAAGGAAUAAGAUAAAGGUCUGAAACAUUUUUAUGCCGGCCAAUAAUGGUAUAUCUAAUCUGAUAAGAGUAUGUAACUAGAAUACAUAUUAUUAGUGGUUAAUUUGUUUAUUAGAAAAAAAAACAAUUAAGCCAAGGUGGAUGGAUACAAUGUUUCAAUUUUUUUUUUAAACAUUUGUAUCAUAAUCUAUUCAUGAAGCAUGACCAAAUAUAAAUGGAGAUUACACUAGGAAUUAUCUACAGGCAAGCUAUAGAGGAUGACAAGUGCCGUCUGCUUGGCACAGAACCAUGUAACAAGCAAUGUAGUAGUAGUGGAUGAUUCUUGUCUUUUUUUUGAAGAAAAAUAUUCCAUUUGACCCACUUGCAAGGCUUUGGAUAUGUAACAUUUGUUUAAUGGGUUAAUUCAGGUUAGAUUUUAGCUAAAAAUGAGUGAAUAAGGUAGAGCACCAAUAAGUAAAUAUUAAAAACUCAACUAUUGAGGUAAUUUGCUACAUGAUUAUUGCUCACUGUUUUGGUUGUUGUUCAUUGACUCUCUCUCUCUCUAGAGUUGUGGAGCCCAAAGACGCUGGGGUGGGGGGGACCUUUGAUGUGCUGGCUCCGACCUCGCCAUCGUUGGUCUUUUAUGGGUCUUGUCUGCUACACUCUAGUGAGAAGAAAGAGAGAGAGAGAGAGUGUGAUUAAAUAAAAAAAAUAUAAACUUUGUACCGUGUUGUAGCUUGUAGUAAGAAAAGAAGAGAGGUGAAAAUAAAAAAAAACACAAAUACAAGAAUGAUGAGAGACUUGUCGUUCGGCGACUUGACCAAAUCUUAAUCAGAGCUCUUAACUGUUUCUUCAUUGACAUAUAGAAAGAUCAUAAGUUGCGAGCAAGAGACCAUUCUUUCUUUCAACUUUUAUUAAUAUUCUAUAGCAUUUGUUAAUUGAUCUUCUUCUUCUUCUUCCUCAUCCCUUCGAUUACUUUUAAUUUAUAAAAAAAUAACUAUAUAAUCAGGUUGAUCCCUCCUUUUAGAUCUACAAGUGAGAAAUUUCAACUACCACUAAAGAUUUCAUCUUGCAAAAGGUAAAGUUUCCAUCUUUCUUUAUAUUGCUGAAGAACACGAAUCUACUCAGAACAAUCCUUUUGAUGUUUCUUCAUUGGCUUUGACCAAAUCAUUUCAACAGUGCCUUCUUCUUCUUCACUGAUCCAUAUUGUGUGUGCAAGUUCUUAUGUUGUGUUACAUUCGAAUGAGAUGAGGAGGGAUGCUAUCUGCCUUGAUGAACUUCCUCAAUGCCUGUCUCUGGCCCCACUCCGAUUCAGCCUCAGUUUCUUCUGGCGGCGGCGGCCGUCAAGAGGGUCUCUUGUGGUACAGAGACUCCGGUCAUCACGUCUUUGGUGACUUCUCCAUGGCCGUUGUUCAAGCCAACAACUUGCUCGAGGACCAGAGCCAGCUCGAGUCUGGCCCUCUUAGCACCAACGGCUCUGCUGGUCCUUACGGCACAUUUCUUGGCGUCUACGAUGGCCACGGCGGCCCUGAGACUUCCCGCUUCAUCAAUGAUCAUAUGUUCAACCAUCUCAAGAGUGAGUUACUGACUUGAAAACGUUUAAGAUCAUCAACUUAUUGCUUUAUACUCUUGUUCUUGAUGUUGCUUAUUAGGUAAUCUAUAGCUUCUUGUUUUAAAAAAAAAAAGGAAAUAAACAUUUUAUCAAAGGUAGUUACUAGUUAGUUAGUUAGCUUAACUAGAAAGGAUCCUGGCCAUUGUGUCAUAGGUCUCCAGUUUGAGUGACUGUCGGAACGAAAUUAAUAUUAUAUGAUAUAGGGGAUUACUGUACUUCCUGAUUUUAAAAACAAGAAGCUCUCUCACAAAAGAAACUAAAGAUUUUUAGUUUUGAUCUCAUUUGUUUAAAUCCUUGUGUGCACCCCACAGGAUUUGCUGCGGAGGAACAGUGUAUGUCACCGGAAGUGAUAAAGAAAGCCUUCCAAGCGACUGAAGAAGGCUUCCUAUCCAUAGUCACCAAUCAGUUCCAGACCAGGCCUCAAAUAGCCACCGUUGGCUCAUGCUGCCUUGUCACCGUCAUCUGCGACGGGACGCUCUACGUGGCCAACGCGGGUGACUCACGUGCCGUGCUGGGACAAGUCAUGAAGGCAACCGGCGAUGUUCACGCCACUCAGCUCUCGGAUGAGCACAAUGCGUCUAUAGAGUCAGUGCGAAGGGAGCUUCAGGCCCUGCAUCCGGACCAUCCGGAUAUAGUGGUUCUGAAGCAUAACGUUUGGAGAGUAAAAGGAAUCAUUCAGGUGAAAUAAAACACACGAAUGUUAUUUGUUUGUAUAUGUCUUACGUAUAGUUCUGAGAUUUGUAAUGGCAGGUUUCAAGAUCCAUUGGGGAUGUGUAUCUGAAACGGUCGGAGUUCAACAGGGAACCGCUGUACGCGAAAUUCAGACUGAGGGCACCGUUCAGCAGGCCGUUACUGAGUGCAGAGCCGGCGGUGACGGUGCAUAGGCUGAAGGAGCAGGACAAGUUUAUAAUAUGUGCGUCAGAUGGACUAUGGGAACAUAUGAGUAACCAAGAAGCAGUAGAGAUGGUGCAGAACCAUCCGCGUAACGUAAGAAUCAUGUUAAAUAGAAAAACAUAAGUUGUUGUUUUUUUUUUUAGGUAGUGAGUCUGUAGAGUGACAAACAAGUGUUGGCAGGGGAUAGCAAAGAGGCUGGUGAAAGUGGCGCUACAAGAAGCGGCGAAGAAGAGAGAGAUGAGAUACUCAGACCUGAAGAAGAUAGAGAGAGGGGUGCGAAGGCAUUUCCACGAUGAUAUAACGGUGAUUGUUGUGUUCUUGGAUGCAAAGCCUGGUGAGGUGAAAGGACCGGCGGUGUCAGUGAAAGGCGCGGGUGUGAGCAUUCCCAAGAAAACAUAGGCGCCUUGCUAGCUGCUACCAACACGCCCACUCUCAAGCUGCUUUGACUCCAACGUUUUAUGAUGACCAAAGAAGUGUAAACUAAUGAAUGAAUUAUUGUGAUUGAAAAAUGAAGUGGUAGUUUUGUUUCCUUUUGUUAGUGACUGGAGAAAGAAAGACACAAAAAAAAAAACAGAAUUAUUACUUUUGAAUAACGCUCUCUCUGUUUUCUUCUGUAAAAUCAAAGAUGAAGAUGGUUGCCAAAUCUCAUUCUUAUAUAGAUAGGACCGUUUACUUUUCGGUGAUGCCUUAUUAUGGUCUCAGUCAGAUUAUCAGUCUCCAUUUGGUGGGAUAUAUUUAAUUUUACUAAACAUAUUGACUCGUUUCUUGGUAAGCUGAAACCUAUUACUCAAAAAAGAGGAGAUUUAAUUUUUAGCUCUAAACAACAACAACAGCAUUAACCUUUGCUGCAGGUUAGAAAUGAAAAUGGACUUUGCCUUCCUCACUCUCUCUACUCAUAGGGAUUUCCUCAAGAUGAGAGCCAAUACGUAACAAAGAGCAGAGUCCACGGACGAUAGCGCAACAAUGAAGACAGCUACAAGAAAGAGACUCAGUGUGGCAGUCUUGAGCUGUUCCCCACCAAAACAAACAUAAAAAAAAAACAAAAAAAGUUAUGUAUGUAUGUAGUAACAAUCAAUCAAACAAAAGAAUAAGUGAUGGCAGACACAACAUAACAUACCGUGGUAGUAAAACUAGGCCACUCUAUAAAUUUCAGCUGGCUCGGCUGUUCAGCCAUAAAGGAGAAGAGCGAUCCCGUGCUCCUUUUUCAAGAACAAGAAAUGCAAUUCAAUGAAACCAACAUAUAUAUAUAGAGAUUGAUUAUUGUGUGAGAGAAGAGAAUAAAUUUUUGUAAAGCAUACCCUACAAUGUCCCUAACAAGGCUCAACCAUAAAGGGGGCUCUGGCUCAUCAUGUAAGUUCGUACUUUGGCGUGCGAAACAUACGGACACUGUGGGAUACCCACCCACAAUAGGCUUAUAGCUAACUCUCCCAUUGAGACUCUGCAAGACCAAUAACAUACACACAGGUUAUGUCAAUAUCUUGCCUGACAUGUUCAUUUUGUCUUUAGGAACAGAUGGAAAUUACCGAAUCCAGAGUAAACUUGGAGCUGCUAGGUCCGAACCUUUGAAUCCUCCGGUGUGACGGAUGAGCCAAUCGGAUUAAACCUAUUGGUUCAAACAAAACAAAAAUGAGGAACAAAAUUAAGAAGAAGCGGUCAAGUACUUAGUAUACAAGGAAAACACAGGACCGAAAAGUAACCUGAAGCAUUUGUGAGAGAUACCACCACCAUCCUCUCUCUCUCUCUGCAAACAAUGCGAAAAGGUAGCUCGGAAGAUGAUGGCCAAGCCAAGCUUUAGGUUUUAUGGGCUUUACCGUCGUGAAUUUUCAGUGGGCUUCAAAUACACAAGGCCUUUUGGAUUUUAUUUUCUAAUUAGUCCCAUCCAUUAAUUGUUCUUCAUUUGGGUUUAGUAUGAAAAUGCCUGGGAUCAGGAUAGUUUGUAGUUUGUACUGCUUUUUUUUUUCUUGUAAUGUUUCAUUCCCUUAUUUUUCCUGUCAAAGCCUAUUACAAGACAGACAUCCACCAGUCUCUAACUAAACGCUCUUUUUUUGUAGAGCAUUUGCUGUGUUAAUCUAGUGUACCUGUUGCUCAAAAAAAAAAAAAUCUAGUGUAUCUCUAUGUAUUGUAAUCCGUACAAGUGAUCAUCCUUGGUCCUCAUCAUCAUCAUCAUUAUCCUUCCUAAUCUCAACGUCGACAUCACUAUCCCCCUCCUCUUCUGCACUCUCAUCAUCAUCUGAACUCUCAUCAUCAGAAUCAUCUUCAUCUUCCUCCUCCUCGUCAUCAUCAUCACAAUCGGCCACAUAAUACCCGCGUGCAUGAUCAUCUCCCUCUUCAUCAUAAAACAUGAACCAACGAGAGUUACCAGAAACCGAGGCCUGUUUCCAGGACGCAACAUACAUACAAUUAGUUUAUCUUCCAAAACAGUAUUCAUUCCAUGACAUAUAAGAGAAUAGAAUUCCAUUACCUGUUCAGCAGUUCUAGGCGAACCGAGUUCCUCAGUUCCUCCAGGAGUCCAUAUUUUGAUGUCAGUCUCGAUUCCACUACUAGCCAUGAGUGGCAUGUGAGGAUGAGACUCUAUACAGUUGACAACAUGUUUAUCUGCUUCCAUGGCACGGAGAAGCUCUCCAUCUUUCUUCCUCCAAAUAAAUAUUCUGCCACAGUCCGAACCACUGACAACAUACUCACACUUGGGUCCAAAAAAGCCCACACCUUUGACUGUUUCCCGGUUACUGUGCUCUUUGUAAACCUGCGGCUGUAUCGUCUUCCUCACCUCAGUCUCAGUCUCAGUCUCAGUAUCAGUCUCAGAUGAAGAAGGGGGAUUCGGGCCCAUCCCCAUACCAGGGCUGAAAAGAUAGAUGAACUCGUCGGUAUAUGAAGCAAGGAGCUCGCUUUGAUCUGAGUAAGCCAGGCCUGUUAUUCCCACAUGGUCGCUUCCAAUCAAAUGAGCAGGACAAAAGUGGUCUACGGGUUCGGAAUAAUUAUACCAAGUCUCGGAGCGGUAGCUACGAAUGUCAUAGACACGAGCAUACUCAUCCAUUCCAGCCACGGCAAGAAGACCAGGGUUCCUCGGAUCAACUGCAAUUGCAUUCAAGUAGACAAUUAAAUUGUACUUUGCUUCUUUACAAGUGAAAAGAUUUGUAGCCACCCGUGUCCUAAGAUCAAACUGAGAAAAAAUGAUAUAUUGUCACAAAACAAACCAAAAGAAAAGAAAAAGUGAUGAUAAAAUGCAGCAACUCACAUGCUUUACAACGCCAUCCUCACCACAAGUGUAGAAUGAGAAAGGACUACCAGGCUCAAUAGCCAACUUGUGGACCUGUCCUUGAUGUAUACCCAACAUACAAGUCUCUACUUGUCCCGACUCUAGAAUUUUCGAAUAGCGAACCUGAGAGAGAUUGAAGGCUAUGAUCAGUAAAUAAACUCAAUUCACAUUAAUUAUGAAAAUGUACAAGUGCUGGUUUAUAUACAUGACUCUAUGUGGCUAACCAGAAGCCUUAACCGGAAACAAACUAUACCAACUGUACAGACUCAAAUGAAUCAAACUACACAUAUGCUAUGUACAAUGGAUAAUAGCUAUUUCACUUAGUGGGAAGCACACACACACACACAGCUACGCAAAGAAGAAGAAUAAAGAGAGGGUGGGGACCUGUCCAUCAGCAGAAGAGGUGACAAUGCUGCGAUCGUCAGAGAAAGGCAUGAACUUGGCUUGGAAAAUAUUGUUGCAAUGGCCAGAAUCGAAAGAGAGCUUGACAGUGGCAGUAUCCCAAUCCCAGAGUAUAACCUGCCUGUCAUCAGAACCAGACACAAGGAUAUCUCCAUCGGCAUUGAAGCUUACAGUGUUGACACAGCCCGUAUGCUCUUGGAGCUUCUUGUGGAGACCAAGUCGGUUUAAUAGAUGCUGGUUAAAAAAAAAAAACAAAUGAGUCAGUGAAAGUUGGUUUAUUCCGGUAAACAGAUACAAAGAGAAGAAUUGGGUAAACCGAUAACCAAUCAUCAGAACGCAGAACCAAUCUAAAUUCGUUGGGAUUCUAAUCACGUAACUGUCAAUGCCUAACAUGUUAAGGGAAACGAGAGACAGACCUCAGAGGCUGAGAAACGAUUGGAGAAACUACGAUUGGGCAGCUGACCCAGCUCCCUUUCCCAGAUUCUCACCACGGUAUGGUCGCUGCUUCUCUGUCUUUUGCUCGGCCGUCUACUCAUCUUGAUUACUGCUUCUGCGUCGGAGCACGCGACGGAGAAAGAAAGAGAGAUUGAACGGAAGAGAGAGAGGAUGGUUGUGAAAAUUUCACCCACAAAGGGGGAUCCACUCUUAUUUAUAAAUCAUUAAAAGCCCAAACCCAACAUACAAAUGGAACCAAAGCCCAAUAAUAUUGAAGCCCAGACGUUAUAGCCCAUUAAAUAUGAGAUUACGAAAAGACGUACAUGUGAAAAACUAGACCGAACCCAAAAACUCGUUCUGAUUAAAAAAAUGAAUCCGAAACAAUCUGAACCGAUUUAAAUACCAGUAGAUCUUAUAGUAUUUGGGGUUAUGAAUUUUAUCUGAACCUAAAUGAAUGAAUAUCUGAUAGAACCCGAAAAAGAUUUAUACCAAAUAUGAUCUCACUUUAUAAUAUGUAUCUAAAAUACACUAAAAUAUUAUUGAACAUCUCAAAUAAUUAUAUAUUACAUAAAUAAUUGACUCAAAUACUUGGUUGCUAUUACAUAAAUAAUUGAUUCAAAUAUUUGGUUGCUAACUGUUAAGUUUAAUUUUAACUGCUAACUGUUAAUACAGUACGGUGAUGUUGUUAUUAUAGUUCAAAAAAGAGUCUCGGUUGAUAGAUGAGGCUCCCAAAAUUAUUAUUUUUUAAAUAAGAUAAUUUGAGAAGGUCAUGUAGAUAAUCAAUAUUUUUAGAAUCAAUAACCUGAUUAAUAUCCAAAACAGAAAUUAAUCCGAUAUUGAACAUGUAACUAAACCAGACCUUACAAACUAAACCAAACUAGAUCCGACUAAAUCCAAACCGAAACCCGAUUGAUAGUCCAAUUGCCCAGCUCUAUGUAAACAAAGGGGUCAAUUCCGUUUUUUUUGGAGCGCUCAAAGGUCAACCCAAUACAUAUUAAACAUUUCUUCUUAACCCAACCAAAAAAAUAUAAAGGAAGGAAGAGGUUAAUGUUUCUAACCACUGCAGAUUUACUUGUACAUGAAGUUUUCUUUCAUCAACAACCUAAACUGUUGGAUGGAAUGGACAAUAUGGGUGUGUGUGGGGUAAUUAUAACUUACAGAAAGGAACAAAAUCAAUUGAGAAGGUAAGCAACACAAGAACUCCGUAAAUCAGUCUUUUUGGAAGCAAGUAGUACUAGGUGGGAUCAAUGCAAUUUAUUCAAUGAUGUGUUGCACUUCUCCUGAGGGCCGCAAAGAUACCCCCUCCUCCUCCUGUUGGUGAUCUUUUCUUCUCCUCUUCCUCUUCUUCUACCUACCACAACACACACACAUACACAUUCAAUUUUCUUAUAUCAUUACUCUCCCCCACAUUUCAUUCUCUCUCUUUACUUACUUCCUUGGCUAUCACUUGUAGCUGCUCUAUUAUCUCUGAGAAGUCUGGUCUCAGCGUUGGAUCCUUCUCCCACAAUCUAUCCAUUAGCUCUCUCAUUUUCGGAUGCGUUUUCUUCGGGAUCGUAGGCCGUAGUCCCUGAACCACCGACCCCCACAACUACGUUUUAGCUUUACAAGCAAUAAAUUCAUUCUACAUAAAGAAAAGAAAACGAUUUACCUUCUGAACCACCCCUACUGCUGCCUGCAAUGGCGUCAUGUAUUCAUAUGGAAUCUGCCAUCACAUCAAACCCAAUGACUUAGUUAGCCUAACACUGAGAUGAUAUUUUAAUUGUCAGAUGAGAAAAGACUUGUAUAAACCACAUACCUUGCCAGUCAACAACUCCCAUAGCACAAUCCCGUAGCUGAAAACGUCUGCCUUGUGAUCAUAUGGCUUGUGUUCUAUCACCUCCGGAGCCAUCCAGCGAUAUGUUCCCGUUUCAGCUGUCAUCACUCCAGUUUGUGCUUUUACUCUAGCUACCCCAAAGUCAGCAACCUUGACAACCUGUAGUAACAAACAAAAUAAUCCACACACCACUAUGAAUCCGACAACCAUUCUGUAGAACACAAUGAUAUAGCAUAUGUGAUGCAGCCCAAAUUAUGUAGCGUGUAAGCUUGGCCCAAAUGCCAAUUCAUACAUUCGCACUGCAAGCUACGUGCAGAGAGAGAAUCACGAUAAAAACUACGUUGAGAAUAUUACCUCAUGCUCGUCCAUUAGAAGGUUGGCAGCCUUCAAAUCUCUGUGAAUUAUAUUAUUUUGGUGUAAGUAGUUCAUCCCUUUGCAGAUAUCUAUAGCUACUUUUAACAAAGCUGGAAGCUUAAAGACGCCCUUUUGCUUGUGUAGAUAGUCAUAUACACUUCCACCGGGCAUGAAUUCUAUUAAAUGAGAAAGAGACAAAUGAGGGGAACAAUAAUAAUAACAAUAAUAAGACCAGAUCAUUAUAUAAUGGUCAGUGCAACAUACCUGUAACAAUACACAGAUGGGGUGGCUUAGUGCAAGCACCAAUGAACUGGACGACGUUUUUGUGCCGCACUUUCCUGCAAACGGAAAGAUUUUGAAUGAGUCUGAGAUGCUAUUGUUCAUAUGCACACAAGUUCACAAGGGAAGGCACACAAACCUCAUAAUAAAGACUUCUUGGGCAAACUCUUUCUCUAGCUCAGAAUCUAGACGCUCUGGCUUGAGGACUUUGAUAGCGACUUCCUGGCUACAAUAUGUACCUUUAUACCUGAAUAACACAAAAGGUAAGGAGAAAGAGGGCGAGAGAUAUUAACUUCUAAGCAUAUGAAAUGACAUUACAUUUGAUAGGUGGAACCAACUUACAGAUCUCCGUAAGAACCGGAUGCUAUUUUAUGCCCGAAUUUUAACUGUUGAAGGUUGAUUUCCCAAACAUCAGUUCCAUCAGUGGGUAUUGCGACCGUCCUGGCACCUGUUUGUCCGUUUUCCUUUUCAGGAGAGAAGGAUUGCUGCAUAGGCCAGCUUUGGUCCUGCAAUUGAGUGUAGUGAAAAAAUCAUUAAUAACUUAGAAAAAGACAUGACAUGAUUGUGAAGAUGUUGUCACUAAUAAAAACUGCAAGACUCCAUAUAUGACACCAAACUCCAUUUUUUUUUCAGAAUUAAUUAAACAUAGUCAUCAUCAAUAUAUAUAUUUUGCACGAAAGUAGUUAAAUUGGCAACAAGUACCUCGAUUUUUGCUGCUUCUUUCUCCAAUGCUAUUCUAAGUCUGUCUACUUCCUGUAUAAUUAUAAAAAUGCAGCAACGGUUGUUAACUCGGGACCUUUCUCUUUAUAAUGAAUGAACAUGCCAACACGCAUCUGUUCUAUAGAGCAUGGAUCAUAUAGUACACUACACGAUAGCAUUGCAAUAGGGAAGGAAAAAGGAGAACAACUAGAAGAAAAACAAAAAAAGUACUACCUCGUAAGGCCAACCAUCAACGACAAAGACAUCUAGAGAGAAACCAUCAGUUGUAGAAAAAGCAUGCGCCUCUUGAAUGUUGAGUCCAAGCUCAGCAAGCAAUGCAGUUAACUGCAUCAUUUACACUGGAUAUAGUAAGCAUCGACGAAUCAAAAUAAUCACAAAAGCCAACAAUCACACAGAUCAUAUAUAUACCUGAAAAAGGAGUUUAGGCUUGUCUAUUGUGGAGAAAGUUAUCUCAUGCAAGGGCCUGCGUUUCAAUUAACAAGCGGGAGUGAGUUGGUAACUGCGCCAAAUCAACAACACAUAUAAACUUCCUUACACAUACCGUGAAUUGUUAGGCACAGAGGAGUCUCCCUCCUCCUCGUCAUGGGAUAUAGUGGAAGCAAGUGCAAGUGCUUCAAGAUUGGGAGAUGAACCAAAUGCAGGCGGCGGAUGAAUGCUGCAAAAAAAUUAAAAAAAAAAAAAAAAUCAGAGAGAGAGAGUCGAGUACACACUUUGAUUAUCGUUAUGUGGAUCAAAAGGCAACCUUUUUCUGGUAGAAGCUUGAUCAGGUUCAUUGGUACGAAGAGAGUCCAAGGAAAUGGAGUCAGCUGAGAUAUUCCCCGUAGGAGGUUGAACCUUUAAGAAAAGAUGAGUCACCAAACAUCCUGUGAGCCCAAAAAAGUUCACAGAGGCAAAACAAUAAAAAUAAAUAAAAAUAACAAACAACAAACUCACCUGGACGAGACGGACUUGGAUAACAGGUCUGUUGUUUGGAUCAAGAGCGGAGUGAAGAAGUCUCUGGUGCAUGAGAACGUCUUCUGCUCUCUCUACAUUCACAUCCAAAGCAUAUCUAAAAAACAAGAUAAACAAUGAGCCUAACCUAAUUAAGGCGGGCACAUACAUGCAGAAGCAGAUCAUAAACAAUGUAUAAUGAUUACCGAGCGGGGAGGCGAUUGAAGUGAGCCCAGAGGUCGUCGACGAAACCAGGGAGAUGGGUGUCUACGGUGUCAGAUUGACGGAGACGGCUGAUAACCUCAUCGAAAACCUCCGUUUUCAUGCGCUCGCGACGGUCGAUGGCAGCCUGCGACGUCGGUAAGAUAUCGCUAAUCCCUCUACUUCCGCAGCUCUCGUUGUCCUCCAUCACCACCAUUGACCACCAGAGGGAAAAUAAAAAGUGGUUCCAACAGAAAAAAGGAAAGUUUAAAGAUGGAAUAGAAUCACCGUUUGAAUUUGAUCCAACACAGAGAUGAAGAUGCGAGGAUCUCUAGAAAAAAAAAUAUUCAAAUUGUAAAGAGGAAAGAAGAGAGAGAAGAGACGAUCAGAAAUUCAGAAUUGAGGAGGGAUUAUUAUGAGAGUUUUUUUUUUGUAACGUUUUAUCUUCUUCUUCCGCAAUUGUGUUUCGUUGCUUUUUUGUUUGGGGGGGGGGGUGUAUAAAACGACACCGUAGUGCGCAGCGGAUGACUCAUGCCGCCGUGGCGAUGCUGAUCUAUUUUAAUCGCUGAGGGGUAUUAAUGGAAUUUCGUCCGUUUUCUUAAUUACCAAGUCGACGAGUAAUUAGAAGGAGAUCUCCCCAUUUGUCCCCCUGAUUACGCCCUUUUGCGUUACUGUCUCUGACCCCACCUCCCUCCCUCCCUCCUCCAUUGGCAUAUUCCACAUGAGCCCACAGUUAUCCGGAUCAGGUUCUUCUCGCCUAUUACUACUUUUUAACGUUAUUUCUCUUUCAUUUCUUUUUGGUAAAAUGUUAAAUAAUAUCUUUUUUUUUGUCCACAUCUCCUGGUCUAAAUAUGUUUAUCCCAAUCCAAAGUAUUUAUCUAAAUUUGAACCGAAAAACCGAAACCGAUCCAGACUAUUAUACACAAAUAUCCAAACGGAACUUAUGAAUUUAGUAUUUUGGAGUUUGGUUAUAAGCCAAACCGAAAUCCAAACUAGGAUCCGAAGAUAUCCGAAAUUAGUUAAAUAUGUUAAUGUUUUUUAUAUAUUAAGGUGAUUUAGAUAUUUCAGAGUAUUCAAAAUAUUUUUGUAGUUUGUUUUAUUUGUUAUUUAAAUUUUUUUAAUUAAUUUAGAUAGUUUAGCUAAUUUUUAAUUAGAUUUGUGAAUAAUUUCUAAAUUUUGAAAAAAAAAAUAUUGUCAUCAUAUGAGAUUUGAAAAAUAUAUUUUUGGACGAUUUCAAAUAUUGGUUACAAUCCGAUCCGAACCGAACUUGGAAGGAACCGAGCCGAACCUGAUCUUAUAGUUAGUAAAACCUGAACGGGACUUUUAAGCAUAAUACCGAAAAUCUGAAUCAAUCGAACCGAAACACGAUGAAGGUUUCGAACGCCCAUACCUAAACAUCUCCGUUUUCUUAUUUAUCAGUUUAGUCCCUUUUACUUUCCUCAAUCGAUUAAACACCCUUCAAUUUCUCUAUUUGGGACAUAAUAUAGCCAAUAGUUUACCUAUGUGUCUUAUGUAUAUAUGGACGUCAUAUAAUUGACUUGACGAUUGUAUUCAUUUAGUGGACUUUUCUCGUUUGGGAUAAUGUUAUUUUCACUCGAAAUGCUGCAUUUUGUGUUUGUGACACGUAAAAACUGACACCCACAUAUCAAAGAUAAAUAGGGCCCAAAUAUAUCAACAGUCUCAGUCGCAUGUGACUACUCCCUAGUCCCUCGUGUUUGGAGGCAUUGUACUCUCGACCAACAUCGUAAGUUAUAUAACUUCUCCCUAAUUAACCUAAAGCUUAAUUAUAUUCAUUCAUCAAGCUGAGCUUUUCCAAUGCAUCAUUCGUUUGAUUAGCAAUGCAUAUGUAUAUGAAUGAAGUUUGAAACACAAAUUCACACACAUGUGGUUAAUCUGGAUAUGAUUAAGCAAAUACACACAUAAUUUUCGAUUUACGGGAACGAAUAACUGAAUAUAUAUAGUAUAUCAGUCGUUUCUUCGGUGACCUAUAUAUAUAUAUUGUUAGUUACAAAAUGUGGUGUGCUCUUGUUAGUUACAAAAUAAACCUUAACAUAAUAUGGGGUAGAACGUGGUGUGCUCUUGUUAGUUACAAAAUUUUGUAUAUAUAUGGUCUAACAAAAAUGCAUUCCGUAUUUUCUUUGAGAUGAAGUAUAAUCGAAAACUAUAAGUAAAGACGCAUUUUGUGUUGACCCAAAAAAUCAUGCAUACUAGUAUAUAUAAAAAUAAUAUCGCACAGUGGAGAUAUAUGCAACACUUACAUUUAUAUUUAUUAUUCUCAGAAAAAAAAUUACUUACAUUUAUAGCAUUUUUAAUGAAUAAACGCACGCAUAUCACGAUUAUUAAGCAGCUAGUAGUAAUUAACGUCGAACGAGUUUGGUCAAAAUGGGAGUGAUCAAAGGUACAUUUAAGUUUUCUCAUCAAUGAUACACGAUUACUGAUUAUUUAAUUUAACAAGAAAAUCAAAUAUUGUGAAAUGAGAUUUGUAUUAAAAUUAGUCCAUGUUGAUGAUCAACAGGAAAUGAAGGAGUUGACCAGAGAGAGAGACUAAGGGCCUGACUGGUUCAAACGCAGCGGUUGCGGUUGCGGGCGUUUACGGAUGCGGGUGGUUGCGGGUUUUAGCUGUUUUAAGAGAUUUGUACGACUGGUUCUGCGGUUAGAAAUUGGUGCGUUUGCGGGAUACUUAUGACUGGUUAACUACCAAAUACAACAGCGGUUAAAUAAUAAAUUAACAAUAUUUACAUUUUACAUAAUUAUAAAAAUAUCAAAAAUCAUAAUAUUAUAAUAAAUAUGUAAAUUAUAUUUUCAAAGUUAUAGUUUUAAAUUUUUAAAAUUAUAGAAAAUAUUUUUAUUUUAAAAUUUUAUAAUAUUAAUUAAAAUAUAAUAGAUAUAUUUUAGUAUUUUUAUAAUUCCAUUUUAAAAAAUUUAUUGAAUAUUUUUAUUUUUGUAUUUAUAUGAUUUUUAAAAAAAAGAAAAAAAAUUUAUCCUCCCGCAACCGCCCGCAACCGCAAACGCUAGCUGGAACCAGCUUUUGAAUUUAAGAGGUUCGGAGCGGUUUGAAGCGAUUUGUAGCGGUUUAUAUGAUUGUUUCGAAACGCUGUCAACCGCUACCAACCGCAAAAGCUGCGUUUGCGGGUGGUAGCGGGGAAACCAAUCAAGCUCUAAAGAUGCGGCAGCC